This 54173-nucleotide long non-coding RNA is filed under the name Vitis vinifera (wine grape). RNAcentral's name for it is "long non-coding RNA (VVIN_LNC001532)". The record is from RNAcentral. Lineage: Eukaryota; Viridiplantae; Streptophyta; Magnoliopsida; Vitales; Vitaceae.
UCCGGAAGACUUUUGUUAUUUUUUAACUUCUAUACUCCUUGCAGUUGUAGAAAACACAUCUUCUUUGGAUUAUCAUCUGGUAUCAUAGUCAAGUUGAUCAGAUGGUUAUCUCAAUCCAACCUACCAUCCCAUUUUUUGAAGGAAAGGGAUAUGAUACUUGGAGCAUAAAGAUGAGGACUCUUUUUAUCUCCGAAGAUCUGUGGGAGCUUGUGGAUAAGGGUUAUGUAGAAGAGGAAAUUCCAAGAGAUGCUAUGAGAGAUGUACGAAAGAAUGAUGCCAAGGCAUUGUUUUUUAUUCAACAAGCAAUCACAGAGAGUAUUUUUCCUCAAAUUUCAAAGGCAACGAAGUCUAAGGAAGCAUGGGACACUUUGCAAACAAAAUAUCAAAGCACAAGCCUGGUAUUAGUUACAAUGUAUUGAAUUUUUAGAUUCAGUCAAAUAAAGUAACAUAUACAUGUUUCCUACUAAUUUGUAAGAUUGGAAUGUGUUGUUGGAUUAAAGGGUUCUGACUACAACUUUAUAUUAAUGGGUUGUUGGAUAAUAUAUUUAGGAGUUUAUUUGAGUUUUUGUUGCUUAUUUAAUGGCAAGUAUGAUGGAUAAUAUUUGGGUUGAACUCAAUUAGAUUUCUUAUCUUUCAUCCUGAACUCUUUUUAAAUGCUUUAUUAUUUUUUUAACUUCUCUCUUCUAGCAAGGCAUCUUUUUCUUAUUAUUGUUAACGAUACAAUGACAUAAUAUAUCACUUCCAUUCAGCUCACUUUAGUUGAAUUCACUUUUAUUUGGGAGGAUUGAAGGACCUAAUAAAUACUUAGGAUAUGUUUGGUUCCAAAAGUAGGAAGAAAACAAAAACAAAAUAAAAUAAAAUAUUAAAUAAAAUUAUUUUCUCAUAUAUGGUUUUACUAUGAAAAAAUUAAAUAUAAUUAAAAAAUUAUUUAUUUUUAAUUUAUUUAACCUUUAUACAAAAUAGUUAAAAUAACUUAAAUGAGUUUGAAGUAAGUAGAAAUAUAAUUCAUUAAUUUUCAUACUAUUUUUUUAUUUUCAAUUGUUUCUUCUACUUUUCUUCUUUUCUUUACAUUUUCACUCAAAUUUCCUGGGUGCUUCUAACAACGGUGCAGAAUUACUGAAUUAACUCGUGUUCUGAUUUGAAUUAGGUUGCAGCUCAAGAUGGAGAUGGCAGCCAAACUGACAUCCCAGUCAUGGAUGACUCUGUGUAUGAGGCAGCAGCGAAGGGCGACAUUGACGUUCUGAAGAAAAUUCCAGAGUCCGAAUUUCAUGCCCAAUUAAGCCCAAAGCAUAACACAAUACUCCAUAUUGCAAGUGAAUUCGGUAAAAUAGAGUGUGUGAAUUGGAUCCUUGAUUUGCCUUCAUCUUCAUCUCUACUGCAACGCCCUAAUUUGAAUGAGGACACUCCCCUUCACCUUGCAGCAAGGCAAGGGCAUUUGGAGGUCGUGGAAGCUCUUAUAAAUGCUGCAAGAGAACCUACCCUAGAUAUUGAAACUGGGCCUGGACCACAUAAGGUUAUGCUGAGGAUGAAAAAUAAGGGGAAAGACACAGCCUUGCAUGAGGCAGUGCGAUAUAGGAAUUAUGGGGUGGUGAUGUUAUUGAUUGAGGAAGACCCCGAUUUUACCUAUGGUGCUAAUGAUUCAGGUAUCACUCCUCUUUACAUGGCUGUGGAGGGAGGAUUUACAGCCGCGGUGAAACUAAUCAUUGAGAAAAGUAGUACUUCGCCUUCUUACAAUGGCUUAAUGGGUAGAACUGCCUUGCACGCUGCUGUAAUAUGCAAUGACAUAGGUAGUAUGCUCACAACACUAAUGAUUAUGUUGUUUAUUUUGUUCAUUUGCUUAAUUUUCUUAAACUUUUUUUCCUUUCUCUAUUAAUCAGAAAUGACAAAGACAAUACUGGAAUGGAAGCCAGAUCUCACCAAAGAAGUAGAUAAGAAUGGAUGGUCUCCACUUCACUAUGCUGCAGAGAGAGGUUGUGAUCCAGAAAUAGUGAGGCUAUUGCUAGAAAAAUCAGAAAAGAGUGUAGCCUACCUUAGGAGCAAAGAUGGGAAGAAGACUGCCCUUCAUAUUGCAUCUUUCCACCAUCAUACAAAAAUAGUAGAGAAGAUCCUAUCUCACUCUCCUGGUUGUCGGGAGCAGGUUGAUGAUAAGGGCAAUAAUAUUUUUCACUUUGCCAUGAUGAAAGAGGGAGACGAUGAUUUUAACCCUAGUAGUUACUUCUUCAAUUAUUGGUUAAGGUCGAGAGGACUUGUAAAUGAGAAAAAUGCUCAAGGAAACACACCCAUCCACCUGCUCUCUCUUAAUCAAAUUUUAGAUUUUCGGUUUGUAUGGAAUUAUAAAGUGGAUAAGAAGGCGUACAACAAUGAAGACUUGACAGCUUAUGACAUAAUUUUGAGGGACAAAGAGGACAUUUCCGAGGAAAAGGUAAGACUCCCACAUAACUUCAAUUAUAUGUUUAUUGGCAAAUGCUAGUUUAAUUUACCCCGUUUCUCAUUUCUUUGAGCUGUGUUAUGUUUUGUUAUUUUUGGUAUGUUUGGAUUCCUUCAACCUAAACUUACCAUCCUUUCAGUCAUAGCCAAUCGAUUCAUGUUGGGAAUAAGAUCCAUCGCAUAAGCGUUAGCUAGUUUCUUAUUUUCUUGUCUCCAAAGUUUCAGGAUGGGAUAAUAGAGAAGGAAAAGAAAGAAAUAGAGGAAAAAAAUUACAAAAUGUUUAUUUCUUUUCAUUGUUCAUUGAGAAAUUAAGCAAAAGAAAUUUAAAUUUAAGAGGAAUGUACUUAGCAUAAACUUUUUUUUUUCAUAAAAAAAAAAGGGAAAUGAGAAAAAAAAUUGUUAGUAUCUUUUAUUUAGUAAUUUUUUUCUAAUCAUUUUUUCACUUGUAUCCAAAUGUUGAAAAAAGAAAAAAAAAACCAUCUUUCUUAAUUUUUUUUUUCCAUUACUUUCCAAAAUCAAAUGUAGUUUAAGAUUAAUUUGAGGAAAAGAAAAGGAAAAAGAGAAGAAAAUAAAAAGAUAAUAACAAUUUAUAAAAUUUUCUUUUAUUUUAUUGUUCAUAAAAAAAUUGAGAAAAAAAUUUAAAUUGUUGAGAAAUGCACUCUUUCCAAAUUUUUUCCAAUUUUUCUAAGGAAAAUAUUUUAUUUUUUCCAUUUUAUUUUAUUUUUUUAUAUUUCAUGAAUUCUUCUCAUACUAUAUUUAGUUUAUGAAAAACACUAAGGCUCUAUUUAUUUCAUUGUAAUUUUUUUUUCUAUUUUCUUUUCUUAAAAUUCUCCCUUAUGGUUUCUUUAAGAAAUAAACAUAGCCUUAUAAUUUGUUUUAGCUUUUUCUUUUUUUAUGACUAAAAAUAGUUUUAAGAUUUCUCAAGAACAUCAAGAAAACAUUUUUUCUUUUCCACAUUUUAAUUAUUUUUACCACAUUUUAAAGCAGUAGAAGGUGAAUAAGAUAAAGAGUUAAUAAAAUUUUAUUUUGCCUUUUCUUUUUCUUUUUAUCCUCAUGGAAUUAUUACCUAUACCUCCUAGAUGCAAAAAUAUGGUAAAACUAAAGGACGAUUCUUUUGUUUAUCUUUGUUGUUGAGAUCAUUGCAAAACAUGCGUUCCAAAACUUAUGAGGGUUAAAAAAUAAAAAUAAUUAAAAAUGAAAGGAAAGUUAGAACAUUUUUCCUUGUUUCUAAAUUAAUUGGAUUUAUUGAAUAAUUUAUGUUGAUGUUCAGAUUAAAAUGAAUUGGCACUCAUCAUCCUAUUUUUAUUAAGAAGUUUAGAUUAACCCCAAAUCUCUAGGAAUAAAUAAGCUUGAUUUGAUGUAUUUAAUUAAAGGUUGGUUAAGUUUGAUUGAUUUAUCACUUGUAUCAGAUUUUCAUUCAGCUUGUUUACCCACCAACGAGUGACUGAAUGUGAAAAAAGUGGAUUCAUCAAUUGAAUUAAAUUUAAAUGUUCCUCACAUCUGAUUUCAGGAUCGCAUCCAAUCUUGGUUGGAGGCUGUUACGACUGGACGUAUUUCUUCGUUUUGGGAGAAGGAAACUAAGAGACAGGAGAUAGAGCAAGAAAGGAAAGAAUACAUCUCUCAAUUACAAAAACAAGGGGAAACCCAUUUGAUAGUUUCUGCGCUUAUAACAACAGUAACUUUUGCUGCGGGUUUCACCUUGCCCGGUGGUUACAAAGAGGAUGAUGGCCAGGCAAUUUUAUCAAAGAAAGCAGCCUUUAGAGCAUUUGUUGUGACGGAUACCAUAGCCAUGGUAUCUUCACUAUGCGCCGUAUUUCUUCACUUUUUGAUGACCCUGCACAAACGUGGGAAGUUCCUUGAAAAACAUUUACUUUGGGCCUUUAGUUUGACCAUGGUUGGGAUGGGAGCAAUGGCCAUCGCUUUCGCAACCGGCUUGUACGCUGUUUUACCGCAUUCCUCGGGCCUUUCAGUUCUCACUUGCAUCCUCUGCUCUUGCUUUUUCCUCUCCAUUGCAGUUGAAUAUUGUAAAUUUUGGAGAGGUACGAUUUCGGAAUGGAUGUUUGGAUGAGCUAUUUUCUGAGAGGAGAGAGAGAACCGGGUCUGAGCUAACUGAUAUCCGAAGCAAGGAAAGCUGAAAGUAGGGAAUCAAAAUGUACUCAUUUGAAUGGGAAUUAUAUUUUAAAUCUGGGUGGAGUAUUGAACUCAUUUGUCAAUGGAUACAAUUGUGAAUACGAAUAAUGUUAGUAUUGGAAUUCAACGAGAUUUUUUAAUCUACACUAUGCAAUAUUUUAUGAAUUGGGGUUGGACUGGGCUGGCCCAACCAGGAAAUAUCUUCCGCGUUCACAAUUUUUAUAAGUUUAUAUUGAUGAAUGAUGAUGUCAAUUUUUAAUUAUUUUUUUCUAUUAUUGAUUCACAUCACUAAAAUCAAAUUUGUUAUAAACUGUUUUUGAUAAAUUUAUAUUAAUGAUAUCAUUUUUUUUUAUAAACUGUUUUUUCCAUUCAAUUAAAAUUAUUAUUUUUUUGUAUAAUUUCAUUAUGUAUAAAUUAUAUUUGAUGCAUUCAUUUUUUUUUUUUUUUUUUGUGAACUGAUUUUUUAUCCAUGGAUGUCAGUGUAUAAGAUUGGCAGUCAGAAUUUAAUUUCAUGAAUCAAUUCUUAUAAAAUUGAUACUACUAAAGUUAGAAUUGAUUAUUAUGAUCUUUAUUUUAUUUUUAAAAUUGAUUCUAAUAAAAUUGAGAUUAAAAAAUUAGAACUUUAUUCUGUAAAUUAUUUUUUAUAAAAUUUGAAGUGUUGUCUUGGAUUAUAACAAAAGACUUUUUUGGGUGUCUAGCACUUGAAUUGAGAUUACCAUGGCUUAUUUGAGUGUCUAGUCAUUGCGCUGGGAGUGAUUUGAAACAUGAACCUCAUGAUGGAAAAGUAAGAGAUAAGCCACCGAGCAAUAUAUCACAUUACUAAAUAUUUCUGUAUAAUCCUAUAAUGAUUUUUUUCCAACGUUUAUUUUUAUAAUAAUAGGUAUGAAAUUAUAUAAAUUGAUUUUUAAAAUUUUAAAUUAAUAAAAUAUGUGGAUAUAUAGAUAAAAUUAAAUAUUAUAAUUUUUUUUAUCUUAAAUAUCUUUAAACUUAAAUAUUAUAUAUAUUAUAUUUAAUAAAAUUUAAAAUAUUAAUAUAUUUAUACUUAUUUUUAUGAUUCAAUUUAACAUAUUAUAUAUAAAAAAUAAAUUAUUAUUAAAUUUUUAAUUGUUUAUUUUAAAUUUUAUAUAAUAUAUAUAUUAUAUAUUUAUGAUAUAAUUGAUUUGAUCAUUAGUCAACCAUGAAUUUGACUAUUGAAUUAUGAAUUAGUGUCUUUUUUAAGUCAAUAAAUGGUUCAUUUCUAAAAACAUUGUUAACACUUUUUUAUCGGGUGAAUUAAUCAAGAAAUUUAUUCUUGGCUCUUACACUUUGACCUUUUUAAGGUAUUCAGUUUAUUUUUUUUUUUGGUACUUAAACCAUUAAUGUAUUUUUUUUCUUUUUUCUUUUUUUAAAAUAAUUAGUAAUUACUUCAAAUAAAUAAAUAAUAAUUUUCAAAUAAAAAUACAAAUAAAAAGGUGUGCAACCAUCUUUUGGGUGAAGGUUAAGUCACAUACUCACAUAUCAAAAAAGUAAACUCAAAUGUUAGUGCAUUGAAAACAUGUCAACUUAAUAUGCAAUCAAUGAAAAGAACAUUCUGUUAGACCUAAAAUCUAAAAAUCAAUAAUAUUAAUAGUAAAUCAAUUUUUAUAUUAAUAAAAAAGAACAUGGGUUAGAAAAAGUUUGAUUCGGAAUUUUGAGACAUAAAUGUGCUUCCAUAAGAGAAAAUAUGCCACUUCUACAUAGAGUUAAUUGAUCCUCUUCUACCAAAAUAUGAUAAUCUUGUUAUAUAAAUUUGACUUUAAUCAAAUAAGAUCAUUUCACACAAUAGUAGUUUUUUCUAUCAAUAACUUCACACAACUUAUCUAACUUAGAAGAAUCAAGUAAGAGCGACAAAUGUAGGUAUACUAGAAUCUCAUCUUCUUGUAAAAAAUCUCACCUAUUCUUCAUGUUUAGAAAAAGAUAAAGAUACAAAAUUAGUAAAAUAAUAAAAUAAGAAAAUAAAAUGAAUAAUUAUAAAUUUUAAAUUAAAUAUAACACUUUAACCAUUUUUUUUUGGUAUGGAUAAUUUUGUCUACUUCACGCUAAUUUGCUUUCAUUGUGCCUUGUUGCUGGUUUGAUUUUGUAUAAGAGUGAUACUAUCAUUUCAAAUAGAAGUUGAUAAUGAAUAUGCUUAGGGAUGAUAAUGGGUUAAGCUUAGAGGAUAAUCCGCCCCGCCCCGCCCCGCCGUACCCCGCCUCCCCCUUAUUGGAAUGGGUAUGGAAGGCUUUUAUUCAAGUUCGAGAUGGGUUUGGAGAAGCUUUUGAAUACUUGGAUCAGAUAUGGGACGGGUUUGGUUUUACUACGCCCUACCUCACCCUGCCGCGUUUACCAACAUAAUGCGUGCCCUCCACCAUAUACCAUAUUACACAUUCCUUAAAAAGUCAUGUGUAUAAAGUAUCUUUGAAACCUAGUUUUCCACUGCUUCUCUUACUCUUAUUCUGUGAAGCUCCCAAUGACGCUAUCAUGUGUACUGUUGAUGCUGUCCAACGAUGUUACCAUCAAGCUAUUCUUCUGCAUCCCACAAGCUUCGUCACAAAAGAAGACAUCAUCUUCUAGACACACCACUGCAAACCCUAGAUGCACUUCUAGUGUUGAUCUCUGAAGCUCCAUUUUUGAGAAUCGUAGAAAAAAAAUUGAUGGGAUUUGAUUGGUUAACAAGAAAAUUGAAGGGAAAAGAAUUGUAUGUUGGGAUUGUGGGAUGGGUUGUUUUAAUUUUGCAUAUUCCUUUCUGGCUUGUUUUACCAUUUUUCCCAAACUGCACCUGGUCAUUAAAGAGAAUUGUUCAAUACUUCAACUAAAUCUCUCUAUUUUUUUUUUCCAAAUAGAUCUUACAUGUCAAAUGAUAAAAAUACUUUCUUCUUCCACCUCCCAACCCUCCUCAUUCAUCCAAGCAACCCUAUUUCAUCUCUUUUUUAUCCUCUUUUCUUUUCUUUCCUUCAUUUUCUUUAAUCUCCAUCUUUUAUUUCCUUUCAUCUUCUUUCCCAAAGUUGUUAUAACAGUAGUAGUUUUUCAGCUCAGCACACUCCAUGUAUUUUUUUCUCAUUUCCAAAUAAAUAAUUUGUAUAAAAUUAUGUAAUGUAAGUUGUAGAUCUUUUAUAUUUUAAAAAAAUUUCCAAUAAUUUCAAUCUCAAACACUUUAAUAUAAUAAAAUAAUAAAUCAUAUUUUAUAUGCUCAAGAUGAAGUUUAAAUAAAACUUGUUUUAAUUGGUGAGAGUAUGUGUGCAGGCGUGUUGUGCAAGUAUGUGUGCAGGCGUGUUGUGCAAAAACUCCUAUAUAUAUAUAUGUAAGGGAAAUUUGGAACUUUCAAACAUCGCAUUCUCCAUAAAAAUUUCUUACUUUUAUUGAGCAAAAAGGAAAAAAAAAAAUGGUGUGCAUGGCCAUGCUUAAUAUUAAUUUCGUUUUAAUUGUUUCUUUACAUUUUUCUAAUUUUCAUAUUUGUUCACUUCUUAGCACCUUAUCAUGAUUAGAAAAGAAGUAAAAUUAAUGAACAUUUACCAAAACUCUUGCAAUUGUUUACGUCUUAGACUUCAGUAUUGCUCAUCCAUUCUCAGUAGUUAAGAAUGUAAUAGCAAAGGUUAGAACUGACCCUUUCGGUCUACAUGAUGAUAUCUAGGAAACACCAUGACCUGGGAAGAUACAACGCAUCCCAUAUGGUUGUACGGUUACUGCAGUUUUCCUCCAAGACAUGCAGUCUUGAAGGCUACAAUAGUAAGGAAAUCUCAGAGCUUAUUGGAAGCAGAGGGGUGGAAACUUGUGAAGAUAGGCUCCUUAGUAUUCAUAUUUACGGACAAAGUUUCCCAUUCCAAGACAUGCUGAGUGCUGUUUGCUUUUAUCAAUUUGCUAUUGCUUAUCAAAGAUCAAAGACUGUUGUUGCCAUUGUUUCUUUAGUGCAUUACCAUAAACCAUCAAAAACAGGAAGAUGUAUUUUCUUUUCAAAAAUUUAGGCCACCAUCAGCCACAGCAGUCCAAAGCUCCAUCACAUCCUUCCUUGCACGGAACAACAAAAAGCAAGCUCCAUCAUAUCCUUGCUUGCAUGGAACAAUAAGCAACAUUUUCAUAAUUGGUGAUUGAACCAAAAUAGUUGUCAAUUCAAUGAUCGGACUGAUGGUUGAAUUGUGACUAUAGUCAAACUGAUGAUGUUAUAAAUAUAUAAUUUAUGUAUUAUUAAAAUUAAAAAUAAUUAUAUGAAAUUUGAAGAAAUUUAAAAUUUAAAAAUUAUAAAUAAGAUGUGUAAAUAAAAUUAAUGCAAUGAAAGUUUAGAUGGAUGCAUUAACAUUUCCCCAAAACUAAUCUUUAAACUAUUUCCAACUUCUAAUGUGAUGAUAAUUUCUUGUCCUUUAAGAAAAUCUUCUUAAAGGGUUUUUUUCUUAAUUUAAUGAGCAUUGUAUUCUUUUCUUCUACAAACUUUAGUCUUCUUAAUUUAUGGAUGAAUUUCUUGAUGGAUAAUAUUUUUGUGUUUUUUUCCUCGGAGUACAUGAAAUUGAAUCCCCACCCAAGGAAGGUCCGUUCCCAGAAUCCAAGCCUCGAGAAAAACACUCUCUCGCACCACUGGGUUUACUCUAACCCCUUUGGCAAGGCCAAGUCCAUCUAACCCCUUUCUGAUUAGGAUUUCUGUGGCUCAAGGAGGUUGAUUUCCUCCUUAUCUUGAUUGAAUGGCUCCAUGAAUGGUUUGAGACGAUGGCCAUUGACUUUAAAGGUGUCUAUUGUUGGAAUUCAGUAAUUCCACCAUUCCAUUGAGAUGCACUUGGUGAAUAAUGAAAGAGUCUAUCCACCUUGACUUCAGCUUCCCAGGAAAGAUAUGGAGCCUAGAGUCAUAGAGUAAGACUCUUUGUCAUUUCCGGAAUUCUUUGUUGGAGAUUAACUGAUCAUGCCACCUCUUCAUCCUCUGUUUUGCAACUUUGGAAUUGAUGUAGGCAUCAUUUCUUAAUUCCUCCAUCUGAUAAGGUCUAAGCACCUCUUUGCCUUGGCUCUGAUCAAGUCCAUGUUUUUCAAGAAAGUAAUACACAGAGCUUUGCUCUGCCUUAUCUUCUCAUUUUGUUUUCUCGUUAUUUUGAUUUCUAGCAAAUCAAACUCUGAGGAUGUUUUCCUAGAAGAUGAGUGGCUAGGCUUUUUGUUUCUUGGAGUGAAGGAAGCUAGGUAAGGUUCCAGAUGCAAAAUUUGAAGUUUUGUUGUUUCGGUUUUUAAUGAAGAGAAAGUGUGAUCCGUUAAUGGUUUUUAUCUUUUUAGUUAACUUAAAAUCCCUUAAAAUCACUUGGUCCAACACUUGGUAAGGCAAGUGGUCUCCGUCCAUUGAGAUACACUAGUUUAUCUCUUGCAAGCCUCUAAGAGGUGGUUUAAAUGUAGGAUUAUCUAGAAUAGCCAACACUUGGUAAGUUUGUGGACUCCUAGGAGACAUCCAUUAGUUAUCUCUUGUGAGCUUUUGACGGGUAAUCCAAGGUUAAAGAUCACCUUAAAUGACCAAUACUAGGUGAGAGGUAUGAACCAUUGCAAGAUGAUUCAGGGAUUUAGUGUUUGAACCCAUUAAGGGCAAACAUCUGUACCUCACCGGUUUGAGAAAUAACUAUAUGUUAGAUCCCCAAUACGAGGAAAAGAUUCAAGUGACCAGAACUCCCUUUUUGUAUGACGAAUCUGAGCCUAGUGAUAUAAAACUCCAAGAAACACUUUUCUUUGUAAGUAAUUUCCGUUACUUUAUUAUUGGUUUCACUUAAAACCAACAUUUUCAAACAUAUUUAUGUUUUCUUUUAAAGCUAACCUUGAAAAGAAAAAACACUAAUUUAGUUUUUGAACUAAUAUUAGUUGUAAUUUGAAAACCCAUCCCUGUGGACGAUCUUAGAGUCACUAUGCUAUGCUUGCUAAUGCUACCCUAGUAUAUGGUGAAAUAGGUUUAUAAAUUUUGUUGAUCACUCCCGUCUAAGGACAGAAAUCAGAGUACAUCAAUUGAUUGAACACCAAUUUUUUCCACUUUUUCUAAGGAAAAUAUUUUAUUUUUUCCAUUUUUUUUUUAUAUUUCAUGAAUUCUUCUCAUACUAUAUUUAGUUCAUGAAAAACACUAAGGCUAUGCUUAUUUCAUUGUAUUUUUUUUUUCUAUUUUCUUCUCUUAAAAUUCUCCCUUAUGGUUUCUUUAAGAAAUAAACAUAGCCUUAUAAUUUGUUUUCGCUUUUUCUUUUUUUAUGACUAAAAUAGUUUUAAGAUUUCUCAAGAACCAAACAUAACAUCAAGAAAACAUUUUUUCUUUUCCACAUUUUAAUUAUUUUUACCACAUUUUAAAGCAGUAGAAGGUGAAUAGGAUAAAGAGUUAAUAAAAUUUUAUUUUGCCUUUUCUUUUUCUUUUUAUCCUCAUGGAAUUAUUACCUAUACCUCCUAGAUGAAAAAAUAUGGUAAAACUAAAGGACGAUUCUUUUGUUUAUCUUUGUUGUUGAGAUCAUUGCAAAACAUGCAUUCCAAAACUUAUAAGAGUUAAAAAAUAAAAAUAAUUAAAAAUGAAAGGAAAGUUAGAACAUUUUUCCUUGUUUCUAAAUUAAUUGGAUUUAUUGAAUAAUUAAAUGAAUUGGCACUCAUCAUCCUAUUUUUAUUAAGAAGUUUAGAUUAACCCCGAAUCUCUAGGAAUAAAUAAGCUUGAUUUGAUGUAUUUAAUUAAAGGUUGGUUAAGUUUGAUUGAUUUAUCACUUGUAUCAGAUUUCCAUUCAGCUGUUUACCCACCAUUGAGUGAAUGUGAAAAAAAUGGAUUCAUCAAUUGAAUUAAAUUUAAAUGUUCCUCACAUCUGAUUUCAGGAUGAGAUCCAAUUUUGGUUCGAGCUUGUCAUGCCUGAAACUCGUUCUGUGUUUAGGAAGAAGGUAACUAAGAGACGGGAGAGAAAGAAAGAAAGGAAAGAAUACAUUUCUCAAUUACAAAAACAAGGGGAAACCCAUUUGAUAGUUUCUGCGCUUAUAACAACAGUAACUUUUGCUGCGGGUUUCACCUUACCCGGUGGUUACAAAGAGGAUGAUGGCAAGGCAAUUUUAUCAAAGAAAGCAGCCUUUAGAGCAUUUGUUGUGACGGAUACCAUAGCCAUGGUAUCUUCACUAUGCGCCGUAUUUCUUCACUUUUUUAUGACCCUGCACAAACGUGGGAAGUUCCUUGAAAAACACUUACUUUGGGCCUUUAUUUUCACCAGGGUUGGGAUGGGAGCAAUGGCCAUCGCUUUCGCAACUGGCUUGUACGCUGUUUUACCGCAUUCAUCUGGCCUUUCAGUUCUCACUUGCAUCCUCUGCUCUUGCUUUUUCCUCUCCAUUGCAGUUGAAUAUUGUAAAUUUUGGAGAGGUACGAUUUCGGACAUGCUAGGCAAACUAAUCGCUGGAGAAGCUGAAUGGGGGGAAUAAAAAGAAAAGAAAAUGCAGAUGUGUAGAUGAGGGCUCCCAAAUCGAUCUUUGAAUGAGCUAUUUCAUUUUCUGAGAGGAGAGAGAACCGGCUCUGAGCUAACUGAUAUCGGAAGCAAGGAAAGCUGAAAGUCGGGAAUCAAAAUAUGCUCAUUUGAAUGGGAAUUAUAUUUUAAAUCUGGGUGGAGUAUUGAACUCAUUUGUCAAUGGAUACAAUUGUGAAUACCAAUAAUGUUAGUAUUGGAAUUCAACGAGAUUUUUUAUGAAUUGGGGUUGGACUGGGCCGGCCCAACCUGGAAAUAUCUUCCAAAUAGAUGUGGAAGGCAGAGCUGUAUAAGUUUGUAUUGAUGAAUGAUGAUGUCAAUUUUUAAUUUUUUUUUUCUAUUAUUGAUUCACAUCACUAAAAUCAAAUUUGUUAUAAACUGUUUUUGAUAAAUUUAUAUUAAUGAUAUCAUUUUAUUUUUUUUAUAAACUGUUUUUGCCAUUCAAUUAAAAUUAUUUUUUGUAUCAUUUCAUUAUGUAUAAGAUUGGCAGUCAGAAUUUAAUUUCAUGACUCAAUUCUUAUAAAAUUGAUAUUACUAAAGUUAGAAUUGAUUAUUAUCAGCUUAAUUUUAUUUUUAAAAUUGAGAUUAAAAAUAAAAAAUUUGGAUCUUUCUUAAUUCCUUCAAGACUAAUUUUCAUUCUUUUUUUCCCUUUUCUUUUUAAACUUUUCUUUUUCUGAAGAUUAUUUUCUCAAGUGAUGAUUUACUUCACUGCAUUGUCCUCGUUCCAUCAUCAUCAUUUUGGUGGUGGUGAUGGUUGUAAUGGUUGGAAAAUGAAUAGGCAAAUGGUUAUUCAACAAGAAAAUCCUCUCGGAAUUUAGUCUUUGAAUAUGAUUAGUUAUGUCCAAAAGCACAUGUUUGAGAACUAUUUGCUGAAAUUGACAUUUUCAACGAAUCUUGCACUUAAAAGUCCAUGUCAAAUUUCGUCUUACUUUUACAUGUAGUAGAAGUUGUCUCUGAGCCGUUGUAAAAGGAUGCCAAAUUCUUUGAGAAUUGGUUUCUUUAGAUUUCAAUUUCAGGAUUCCGAUCUAGAACUUCUACAUGAUUUUCUCAUAGCAUCCCUCUGAAAAUUGAGGAAAUGGGAAUUAAAAUGUAAGUUUGAACUAAAGAUUUGAGCUAUUCAAGAAUCAAACAUUGAGGCACUUGUUUAACUUUUGUCAGCGGUCAAUAUACUCUGUUUCGUGUCGAAGGAAGAGAUUACAUUUGGAUUUGGGUGCAUUGACAAGUCCCAGACUAUGUAUAUCAAUAUACUUUGGGUUCCAUGGGCCGCCUACAAAAAAGAAAUCAUAGGUUUUGGGAUAGAAUACCAAAGGUAAGUGCCAAAUGAAGUGUUUUUUUUUCCCUUCUUUAUUACAAAGAAGGUCAUGAUUUCUUUCUUAAAACAGGUUUGCAGGAAUGGCAAGGGGAAGGAGGUUGUGUCAGAUAGGGUAUGCAUUUUAGAGGUGCAAGUUAUUGAAGUUUUUGGGAUUUGACUCCUCUUUGUGACACUAUUAUUUCCCUCAGAUUGUUCUUUAGAUGCAUGCAAUGUCAACAGUUUCAAUAUGAAAUUCAUGGCUGAUAAAAGGCCCUCCCUUAUAUCGGCUGUGGAUUUUAAAGCCACAUGACAUGCACUCAUGCUGUGGCACGACCUGUCGAGAUAAUCGAGGCAAGGGAUACUUGAGUACAUUUUAAGAAAAUGGAAUUGUCUUACGCAAUUUGAUCUGUUCCAAAGGAUUUUAUAGGAAGGGAAGCCUGGAGUGGGAUCAAACCAUGGCUUAAAUCCUCUGCUCCCUCUUUCCUACACCAUUUACAAAGACAUUGGUCUGUGGAUGAUGUGGGUCUUGUUCUCUAGAUUGCCCAAAAGCUCAAAAUCCAACUCAAAACAAUUUACAUUAGAAAUCAACACCGGAAUGAGUCUUUUCAUGUUACUCUUUGUUUUAGUCACACACUCAUCUUACAUAGAAAGCUGUCACAACCCUCCCUGCAGAGUUACUCCCAGGUAGCAUUAAUUGCAUGUGGAAAAACCCAACCCACAUCCAAAAGUCUCCAGCGAUGAUUCAAAGGCCCACCCUGUUUACCAUAAAGCAAUUACGGUUAAGACUCUAGAUAUAGAAACCCUUGAUAAGUUUGUUAUGGUGGUAGUAGAAAGAGAAAUAAAGUUGAACGAAAUGAGCAGAGGCAUGGUCGAGAACAAUGUUUUUGAAACUGGAUUAUUUAUUGAAUUGAAAAAAUUACGGGUUUAUGGUUUAGUGGUCAAAUCGGUCAUUGAACCGAGUUUAAACCGGUGAGGUCAUAACUAUAUAAUUUAUAUAUUAAAAAAUAAAUUAAAAAAUUUUAAUGUAAAGAAAUAAAAUAUAAUAAUAUUUAUUUUUCACCUUUGAUAUUAUUAAACUUAAAUCAUGAAUAAAUAUAAAUGUAUUAAUAUUUUAUUUUAUUUAAAUAAAAUAUGUAUAAUCUUUAAAUGUGAAGAAAUAUAUUAAAAUAGAAGAAAAUUCUUUUAUUUAUAUUAUAUUAUUUUCUUAUAUUAAAAAAUUUAAAAUAAUUAUGUUGAUUUAGUUUAUUUUGAAAUUUUAAAUAACAACCAUUAGUAGUAAAGUGGUUAUAGUCCUGACAUGUGAAUUUUAUGGAUUUUUUAAAACUCAUCCCACAUAGGAAGUUGAUAAGGAUGAGAAUGCCUUUAACUGUCCAUUUCAUGAUAUAAUAAGCAUGCAAGAGGGCUCAAGACAGAUCCUUGUCCUGGUCUUAUUAAUUGGGUUGGGCUUCCACCCAAUCUUUUGUUGAGAAGUAAAAAAUGCCAACCUUGAACCAAUGGUUCAAAACUAGUUCAAUGUGUACUUUUGCCCAAAGGCUAUAGAUUGAACCGUGCCAAGCUUUGGUCAAUGGUUGGACCAAUCAAACUAGUUGGUCCAGUCGGAACUUUGUAUAUUUUCUCAAAGGUAGGGCCGCUUUGGGUAUUUGCAAGUAUUGUCUCAUCUAAAACUAAUGGUUAGAAACUCAAUAAAUAACUUGACUCUCUUUUUGUAUAUAUUAUUUUUUGAAAACUAUACUUGCACCUAAAUCAAAAUAUAUCAUCAUCAAUUAUACAAUAUCAUAUAUAUAUAUAUAUAUAUAUAUAUAUAUAUAUAUAUAUAUAUAUAUAUAUAUAUACAUAUUUAAUUGGACUUCUUAUUAUCUUAAUAUCAUAUAUUUAGAGCUCAUUUAAUUGUGUGAUUUAAAAAUAGUUUUUAGUUAUUAAAAAUAAAAAAUUGUUUUUAAUAUCAUUUGACGGUUGUUCUCUGAAAAUGAUUUUUAAAAAUAAAAUGAAAUAAAGAACAAUUUUUAGGAAACAAAUAAAGUUAUUUUCAUAAAUUUUAAAAAAUAAAAAUAAAAUAUGAGUUCGUUUAAUCAUGUUUUUUAAAAUUUGUUUUUAAGUUAAAGAAUAAAAAUAGUUUUUAAAAACAAAUUUAAAAAACAUGGUAAAAAAAGACUGUUAUACUCUCAUUCAAAUGAUCAAGAUUUUGACUUCAGUUUCAUAUGUUGGUAUAUUAAAAAAUUUCUAUAUUAAACAAUUUGGAUAUGAAUCAUAUGAUACUAUAAGUUGGUGCCAUGAAUGUUUCCUGAAAAACAAGAAAGGAAGAAGGGGGGAAGCCCGGAAAGGUGCGGUGGUGGGUGUGAUGAGAAAAGCGAUGAUAUGAUAUAAUUUUUUGUAUUGCAUCAAAGUUUUCAAUAAAGUUUUAAGCAACCAUGAGAGUUGUUCAUCAUGUACCUAACACUUUGGACGGACGAGAUGAUGGCACCUUUUUGACUUCUAUUUCAUGUCACGUGCCUCGAAUAAUGUUAAAAAGCAAAAAAAUUAAAUAUAUACAUAUUUUAUAUUAUUCCAUAAAGUUGUGUUGAAAAUAUCAAUAUAUGUUAUUUAAAUUAUUCCUUAUUUUAUAUUUUUCUAAAACUCAAUAAAUAAUUUUUUGUAAUGGUAUUUCUCAAAAAGUUUAAACUCCUUAAUUUCAAAUAUUAUUUUUCUAACCAUAAAUCAUCUUUGAAAUAAAUAUUUUAAAAAUGAUAGUUUGAUUUAUCAUUUAAAUGUAAGUGUUUUAUAUAAAUUAUUUUAAAUUAACAUAAAAACUUUUUAGUUAUUAUUUGUUAAAAUUUUCGUAUUCUUUCAAAAGAGUAAAAAGUUCAUGUUAUUAAUUGUAAUUUUUUUUUUUCCUAUUAUUGUGCUUUUUAUAUAAUAAUUUUUUAAAAUUGCAUGAAUAAAAAAAUAUUUAAAUAUAAAAUCUUAUAAAAUAAAAAUAAAAAUUUAUUAAACAACAAAUAUGAAUUUUUUUGCUUUUAUAUUCUUUAUUAUUUAAAGUUUGUUUAUAUAGUUAUUGCACCAACAUUGGCUGACCAUGGAUUGAGCAAAACAUUUCCAAUAACCACUCAAUUAAUAUAAAGGAAAAAGAAAUCUAAAGAAGAGAUAAGAGAAAAGACUGGAGCACAUCCUCUCCACCACAAAGCUAAUAAGCAUCUUAUUCAAACAUAAGUUUGUCUUAUCAUAUCCGACGUCAUCAUCCAACCAAGGAAAUACAUUAUUAUUAUUAUUUUUUUAUUAAAAAAAAUAGAAAUUAAAGAAGAGACAUAAGGAAAUCACAUUCUUUAAUAUUAUAUUAUUAUUUCUUUAAUAUUUUUUAGAAAUGAAAUAUAUUCUUAUUAUUUGAAAAAUGAAUUCAAUUGAGUCUAAAUUCUUAAAUUUAUAAAGAAAAAUAGUAUGAUAUUGGAUAGGUAUUAUAUCAAGCUAAAAAUUUGGAUUCUUAAAACAUAUGAUUAAGUUUGAACUUUUGAAUAAGGUGGCCAACAAAAAAAUCAUAUAUAAUAUUAAAAAAAAAUUGAAAUGAAACUACAAAACAAUUUAAUCAUGAUUAUUAUUUUUGUUUAUCAAUGUGAUGAUUACCAUUUUUUGAUGUGACGUGAAAUUUCAAUGGGAGAAUUAUGUUUUGACGGGCCAAUUUGGGAAUAAUAACAUUUUCGGAACCGAACUUUCCAUAAUGCAAGAUAUGUCCACUGUUUGGAAAAAUAUUAAAGGAAACAUGCAUUCUGGCCUGAGGUGUUAUUUCAUACCGAAAAUACCCCUCCAUUGUUCAUCGUCCCUGUGAAAGGUCCCGAUAUUUCCUACCAGCCCACGCAAGAUGCAAAAUCUGUCCGAUAUUUUUUUUUUUUUUUAAAAAAAAAUUUGCAGGCAAAGGUUGGAUUUUUCAGCAUGGCUCAAAAAUCGUGGAUUUAGGGUUUGUGAAAUUUAAAUCCAAUGGCCCAAAAUCAAAGAGACCCCUAGAUCAGAUCAAGAAAACACAUGGAGGAAAAAAAAAGCACUUUUUUUUUUGUUUUUCUUGGGGAUUUUGCAUGGAUUUUGUCGGAAAUCAAACGAGGAUGGAUUUUCUCGGAAAUCAAACGAGGAUGAACUUUCCCGGAAAUCGAAUGGGGGAUGGAUUUUCUUGGGAAUCAAACGGGGGUUGCAAAAAAAAAAAAUAAUAACUUAGAUUAGAUUAGUACCUGCGAGGAUUGAGAAUGGCAGAGGAAAAAAUAGGGCUUUUUUUAGGGAUUCUCUCGUCUGGAGGCCAACUUCAGAGAAGGGCCUCGGAAAUCAAACGAGGAUGGAUUUUCCCGAAAAUCGAAUGGGGGUGGAUCUUGGGAAUCAAACGGGGGUUGCAAAAAAAAUAAAUAAUAACUUAUUAGAUUGGUACCUGCGAGGAUUGAGAAUGGCAGAGGAAAAAAUAGGGCUUUUUUAGGGAUUCUCUCGUCUGGAGGCCAACUUCAGAAAAGGGCCUCGGAAAUCAAACGAGGAUGGAUUUUCCCGGAAAUCGAAUGGGGGUGGAUUUUCUUGGGAAUCAAACGGGGGUUGCAAAAAUAAUAAUAAUAACUUGAUUAGAUUAGUAUCUGCGAGGAUUGAGAAUGGCAGAGGAAAAAAUAGGGCUUUUUUAGGGAUUCUCUCGUCUGGAGGCCAACUUCAGAAAAGGGCUCCUUGAUGCCCGAGUGAGAGACGGUGUCGUGAGAGACGGUGGCUGCUGACAGGACAACUAAAGGGCAAUUUUGGAAUAGCAUUUUAAAACAGUAGAUAGUGCAUGUUUCCUUUAAUAUUUUUCCAAACAGUGGACAUAUCUUGGAUUAUGGAAAGUUGGGUUUCGAAAAUGUUAUUAUUCCCAAAUUGGCCCAUCAAAAUAUAAUUCUCCCAAUUUCAAUCCUUGCUCUCCACCACACAAGUUCACGGUAGAGGGGACCACCUUCUAAGCUAUACCUAAGAGGCACUUUAUUUAAUGGCAAAUCUAAUGAAUAAAAUUUUAGAUCAUCUCCGGAAGACUUUUGUUAUUUUUUAACUUCUAUCUUCCUUGCAGUUGUAGAAAACACAUCUUCUUUGGAUUAUCAUCUGGUAUCAUAGUCAAGUUGAUCAGAUGGUUAUCUCAAUCCAACCUACCGUCCCACUUUUUCAAGGAAAUGGAUAUGAUAGUUGGAGCAUAAAGAUGAGGACUCUUUUUAUCUCCGAAGAUCUGUGGGAGCUUGUGGAUAAGGGUUAUGCAGAAGAGGAAAUUCCAAGAGAUGCUAUGAGAGAUGUACGAAAGAAUGAUGCCAAGGCAUUGUUUUUUAUUCAACAAGCAAUCACAGACAGCAUUUUUCCUCAAAUUUCAAAGGCAACGAAGUCUAAGGAAGCAUGGGACACUUUGCAAACAAAAUAUCAAAGCACAAGCCUGGUAUUAGUUACAAUGUAUUGAAUUUUUAGAUUCAGUCAAAUAAAGUAAAAUAUCUAUGUUUCCAACUAAUUCGUAAGAUUAGAAUGUGUUGUUCUAAGAAGGGUUCUGACUACAGCUUUAAAUUAAUGGGUUGUUGGAUAAUUUAUUUAGGAGUUUAUUUGAGUUUGGUUGCUUAUUUAACGGCAAGUGUUCAACUCAAUUAGAUUUCUUAUCUUUCAUCUUGAACUUUUUUUAAGUGCUUUAUUAUUUUUUAACUUCUCUAUGGUAGGAAGGCAUCUUUUUCUUAUUAUUGUAAAUGAUAUAAUGACAUAAUAGAUCAUAUAUCAGAUCACUUCACUUUAGUUGAAUUCACUUUUAUUUGGGAGGAUUGAAAGACCAAAUGAAUACUUAGGUUAUAUUUGGUUCCCAAAAGUAGGAAGAAAACAAUAAAAUAAAAUAAAAUGAAAUAUUAAACAAAAUUAUUUUUUCAUGUAUGGUUUUAUUAAGAAAAAAUUAAACAUAAUUAAAUUAAUUAAAAAAUUAUUUAUUUUUAAAUUAUUUAACCUUUAUACAAAAUAGUUGAAAUAACUUAAACGAGUUUGAAGCAAUGUAGAAAUAUAAUUAAUUAAUUUUCAAAGUAUUUUUUAUUUUCAAUUGUUUCUUCUACUCUUCUUCUUUUCUUUACAUUUUCCCUCAAAUUUCUUGGGUGCUUAUAACAACAGUGCAGAAUUGCUGAAUUAACUCGGGUUUUGAUUUGAAUUAGGUUGCAGCUCAAGAUGGAGAUGGCAGCCAAACUGACAUCCCAGUCAUGGAUGACUCUGUGUAUAAGGCAGCAGCGAAGGGCGACAUUGAAGUUCUGAAGAAAAUUCCAGAGUCCCAAUUUCAUGCCCAAUUAACCCCAAAGCAUAACACGAUACUCCACAUCGCAAGUGAAUUCGGUCAAACAGAGUGUGUGAAAUGGAUCCUUACGUUGCCUGCAUGUUCAUCUCUACUGCAAUGCCCUAAUCUGAACGGGGACACUGUGCUUCACCUUGCAGCAAGGGAAGGGCAUUUGAAGGUCGUGGAAGCUCUUCUAGAACCUACCCUAGAUAUUGAAACUGGAGUUGGAGAAGAUAAGGAGAUGUUGAUCGGGAUGACAAAUAAGGGGAAAAACACAGCCUUGCAUGAGGCAGUGCGAUUUAACCAUUCUGAUGUGGUGGAGUCAUUGAUUGAGAAGGACCCCAGGUUUAACUAUCGUGCUAAUGAUUCAGGUACGACUCCUCUUUACAUGGCUGCGGAGAGAGGACUUACAGGCUUGGUGGUACUAAUCAUAGACAAAAGUAGUACUUCACCCUCUUACCAUGGCUUAAUGGGUAGAACGGCCUUGCACGCUGCUGUAUUAUGCAAUAAUGAAGGUAGUAGACUCACAAUACUAAUGAUUAUGUUAUUUUCAUAUAUGUAGAUUAAAAGGGAACAUGCAUGCCUUCAUUUGUUUUGUUCAUUUGCUUAAUUUUCUUAAACUAUUUUCCUUUAUCUAUUAAUCAGCAAUGACAAAUAAGAUACUUGAAUGGAAGCCAGACCUCACCAAAGAAGUAGAUAAGAAUGGGUGGUCUCCACUUCACUAUGCUGCAGAGAGAGGUUGUGAUCUGAAAAUAGUGGAGCUAUUGCUAAGUAAGUCAGAAAAGAGUGUAGCCUACCUUAGGAGCAAAGAUGGGAAGAAGACUGCCCUUCAUAUUGCAUCUUUCCACCAUCAUACAAAAAUAGUAGAGGAGAUCCUAUCUCACUCUCCUGGUUGUCGGGAGCAGGUCGAUGACAAGGGCAAUAAUAUUUUUCACUUUGCCAUGAUGAAAAAGGGUGACCGGUACGAUGAUUUUAAGCCUAGUAAUUACUUCGACAAUAAAUGGUUAGGGUCAAGAGGACCUGUAAAUGGGCCAGGAGGAUUUGUAAAUGGGCCAAGAGGACUUGUAAAUGAGAAAAAUGCUCAAGGAAACACACCCAUCCAUCUGCUCUCUCUUAAUCAAAUUUCAGAUUCUUGGUUUGUAUGGAAUGAAAAAGUGGAUAAGAAGGCGUACAACAAUGAAGACUUGACAGGUUAUGACAUAAUUUUGAGGGCGGACAUUUCCGAGAAAAAGGUAAGGCUCGCACAUAACUUCAAUUAUAUGUUUAUUGGCAAAUGCUUACCACGUUUCUCAUUUCUUUGAGCUGUGUUAUGUUUUGUUAUUUUUGCUAUGUUUGGAUUCCUUCAACCUAAGCAUUAGCUAGUUUUUUAUUUAUUUUUUUUGUCUCCAAAGUUUCAAGAUGGGAUAAUAGAGAAAAGGAAAAGAAAGAAAUAGAGGAAAAAAAAUUACAAAAUGUUUAUUGCUUUUCAUUGUUUAUUGAGAAAUUAAGCAAAAGAAAUUUAAAUUUAAGAGGAAUGUACUUAGCAUAAACCUUUUUUUCUUAAAAAAAAAAAGGAAAUGGGAAGAAAAAUUGUUAGUGUCUUUUAUUUAGUAAUUUUUUUCUUAUCAUUUUUUCACUUGUAUCCAAAUGUUGAAAAAUAAAAAAAUAAAAGAAAACCAUUUUUAUUAAAAAAAAAUUUCCGUUACUUUCCAAAAUCAAAUGUAGUUUAAGAUUAAUUUGAGGAAAAUAAAAGAAAAAAAAGAAGAAAAUAAAAAGAAAACAACAAUUUAUAAAAUUUUCUUUCAUUUUAUUGUUCAUAAAAAAGUCGGGAAAAAAAUUAAAUUGUUGAGAAAUGCAGUCUUUCCAAGCUUUUUCCACUUUUUCUAAGGAAAAUAUUUUAUUUUUUCUAUAUAUAUAUUUUACAUUUUCAUGAAUUUCAAACUAUAUUUGGUUCAUGAAAAACAUUAGGGCAAUGUUUAUUUCAUUGAUUUUUGUCUUUUUUUUUUUAAUUUUCUUCUCUUAACAUUUUUCCUUAUGGUUUCUUUUAGAAAUAAACAUAGCCUUAUCAUUUGUUUUCACUUUUUCUUUUUUAUGACUAAAAUAGUUUUAAGGUUUCUCAUGAACCAAACAUAACAUCAAGAAAACAUUUUUUUCUUUUCCACAUUUUAAUUAUUUUUAUCACAUUUUAAAGCAGUAGAAGGUGAGUAGGAUGAAGAGUUAAUAAAAAAUGGAUUCAUCAGUUGAAUUAAAUUUAAAUGUUAUUCACAUCUGAUUUCAGGAAAAUAUCCAAGUUGCCUUCGAGUAUGUUAUGACUGAAAGUCGUUCUUCGGUUACGGAGAAGGAAACUAAGAGACGGGAGAGAAAGAAAGAAAGGAAAGAAUACAUCUCUCAAUUACAAAAACAAGGGGAAACCCAUUUGAUAGUUUCUGCGCUUAUAACAACAGUAACUUUUGCUGCGGGUUUCACCUUGCCCGGUGGUUACAAAGAGGAUGAUGGCCAGGCAAUUUUAUCAAAGAAAGCAGCCUUCAGAGCAUUUGUUGUGACGGAUACCAUAGCCAUGGUAUCUUCACUAUGCGCCGUAUUGCUUCACUUUUUUAUGACCAUGCGCCAACGUGGGGAGUACCUUGAAAAACACUUACUUUGGGCCUUUAGUUUGACCAUGGUUGGGAUGGGAGCAAUGGCCAUCGCUUUCGCAACCGGCUCGUACGCUGUUUUACCGCAUUCCUCGGGCCUUUCAUUUCUCACUUGCAUCAUCUGCUCUUGCUUUUUCCUCUCCAUUGCAGUUGAAUAUUGUUUAUUUUGGAGAGGUACGAUUUCGGAAUUCACAAUCAAAAUAAUCCACAAAAUCCUCCUUGCUUCUGAAAGAAAAGAAAAUGCAGAUGCGUAGAUGAGGGCUCCCGAAUCGAUCCUAGUCUUUAUAAUCCACUAUUUCUUGGGUUGGAUCAAAAGACUUUUUCGGGCUAAGCAAUAUAUCAGAUUAGUCAAUGGAUACAAUUGUGAAUAUGAAUAAUGUUAGUGUUUAUUGUAAAUUUGGAUGCAAUUGAUCAUUGAGAUUAAUAUAAUCAAAACUAGUUUUACAAACGAUUUUUGAUAAAUUUAUAUUAAUGAAAUCAUUUUUUUUUAUAAACUGUUUUUGUCAUUGAAUUAAAAUUAUUUUUGUAUAAAUUAUAUUUGAUGCAUUCAUUUUUUUAUCCAUGGAUAUCAUUGUAUAAGAUUGGCAGUCAGAAUUUAAUUUCAUGAAUCAAUUCUUAUAAAAUUGAUACUACUAAAGUUAGAAUUGAUUAUUAUUUUUAAAAUUGGGAUUAAAGAAUUAGAACUUUAUUGUAUAAAUUAUUUUUUAUAAAAUUUGAAGUGUUGUCUUGGAUCAUAACAAAAGACUUUUUUGGGUUUACUGGGUGACUAACACUUGAAUUGAGAUUACUAGGGAUUUGAAAGAUUUGAAACAUGAACCUCAUGAUGGAAAAGUAAGAGAUAAGCCAGUAAGCCACUGCGCAAUAUAUCACAUUAGUAAAUAUUUCUGUAUAAUCCUAUAAUGGUGUUUUUCCAACCUUUAUUUUUAUAAUAAUAGGUAUGAAAUAAUAUAAAUUGAUUUUAAAAUUUUAAAAUAAUAAAAUAUAUGGAUAUAUAGUUAAAAUUAAAUAUUAUAAUUUUCUUUUUAUCUUAAAUAUCUUCAAACGUAAAUAUUAUACAUAUUAUAUUUAAUAAAAUUUAAAACAUUAAUAUAUUUAUACUUAUUUUUAUGAUUCAAUUUAACAUAUUAAAUAUAAAAAUAAAAUAUUAUUAAAUUUUUAAUUGUUUAUUUUAAAUUUUAUAUAAUAUAUAAAUUAUAUAUUUAUGAUAUAACAGAUUUGAUCAUUUGUCAAUCAUGGAUUUGACUAUUGAAUUAUGACUUAGUGUCUUUUCCAAUUUAAUAGCCAAUUCCAUUCUAAAGCCAUUGUUAACAUUUUUUUACGAGACAAUUGUGAGUUCAAAAAUUAAUUUUUGGUUCAUAUAAGUUGUAUAAUUAAUAGAGAUAAUAUAAAAUAUGAAGAGAUCAAUAUACCUUUCAAAACUAUUUUCUACCAUAAUGUUUGAUAAACCUUUUUGUCUUAAUUUUCUUUUAAUAAUUAUUAUGAAAAUUUAUUAUUUUUAGAAAACUGAUUUUUUUAAAAGAAUAUAUUCUAAAAAUAUAUCAUUUAAAAAAAAUAAAUUUAAUCUUAUUUUCUCUUAAAAGAAAAAAAGAUAUAAUUUUACCUACUAACAAAAUUAUUUAAUAAAUAUAAUGUUUUAAAAUAAAAUAUAUUUAAAUACAAUCAUGAGGUAGAUGAAAAUUAUUUUUUCAUAUUUUUAUAAUUUUUAGCAAAUAAUUAAAUUUAAAUAUAAAAUCCGCUAUUAGCUAACACGUGCCUCGUACAUUGAUGAAACGUAUUUAUAAGUCAAAUAAGCAGGAACCAUGAAGCUUUGAAAAAUGAAAUAGAAAUAUACUAUUUUUCAAUUACAGUCUUCAGUCACAAUUAGAACAAACCACUACUCUUCAGUCACCACCGAGCUGAGAUGUUCCUUCCGCAGGUAGUUGCAUCCUGAUAUGUCUCUCCCCAUGGAUUCCUACCCCAAGAAACACUUCCUUAAUGAUAUUCAGUUCCAUCACCACGUCUUUGAUGUCCAUUCGAUCACCAGGUGAUUCUUCAGAACGUGCUACUCCAAUUCUCGCAAUUGAGGCAAGGCAAUGCUGCAUUCUACCUUCCACAUCACCGUGAUUUGCUAUAUUGUUGAUUGCUUCACCUGACUCCCCAACCAAGUUUGAAUCGGCAAUCUCCAUCACCCGUUCUGGCAAUGCCAUCUUCGAGAAACUGUGAAGGCUCAAACCAUCCGGAAACAUGUGUUCUGUUGGUCUCUUUCCCGUGAACAUCUCCAGGAAAAGGAUGCCAUAGCUGUACACAUCUCCUUGAGGCCACAUGGAGCCACCUAGUCCAUAUUCUGCCAUGCAUAUAUUCAUCUUUUUUUACUUAAAAGUCCAUUGAAAAGUAAGGCUAAUAGGCCGAGUGUAGCUAUGCUAUCCUGCGUGCCAAUUUAAACCAACAAUUUCACAACUUAUUUUUAGGAUUGAGGAAAAAAGACUUAAGGAAGUGUACCUGGAGCGACAUAACCGAUGGAUCCCAUCAUCAGUGUCGAACUGGUUUGAUCACUACUCAGCAUGUCGUCAGCUUCAGGAAAGAGCUUGGCUAACCCGAAGUCCCCGACAUGGGCAAUCAUGUCAUCAUCAAGAAGAACAUUGCUUGGCUUUAGAUCACCAUGAACAAUUGGUGUCUGCAAUUGGUGAUGAAGAUAAUCCAGAGCAUUAGCCACAUCAAUUGCAAUAUCUAAUCUUUGUCUGAAGCUUAAAUUUCUGGAUUCGUGAUGCAGCCAGCUAUCUAGGUUCCCAUUAGGCAUGAACUCAAAUACUAGAGCACUAAAAUCACUACCUCUGUUUGUCCACACUUGUAUAUGAAGUUAUGAUCCUGAGGAGAUUUCGAUGUUGAAUUUGCCCGGAGGACCUUGCACUCAGCCAUGAAACUCUUGGAAGCUCCAUGCUAUUGAAGGUUCAGUACCUUCACUGCAACCGGUCUUUAGCCUUGACUAGGAAUUCCUUUGUAUACAGAACCAAAACUUCCCAUGCCAAUCAAAGUUGGAGGAAGCAAAUGCACCAGUUGCUUUGAGUUGUAAGAAACCCUCAAGUACCCAUAUCCCAAAGAAGUGGAAGAGGACUUCAUUAUUGUCUUUUUUCUCCUAUAAAGGAGAACUGAAGCCACAAUGAAAGCCAAGCAAGAAACACCAGCAAUGCUUAUAGCUACAAUAAUUUUGAUUGAAGGAUGCUUGCCCUUGGCAUACUUUGCUGACUCUACAACAGAGCAUGGUGGCAGAUGCAGUUGAGGGAUUUCCCCACAAAGCUUCUUGUUCCCAGUGAUUGAAAUCCCAUUCACAUUUUUAAAAACUCCUCCACUUGGAACUACUUCACCUUCAAGGUAGUUAAAAGACAGAUUUAAAGUCAGCAAAGCAGAAAGAUGUUGUAGUUCUUUGGGAAUCGUUCCAGACAAGUUGUUGCAUGAAAGAUCUAGGAAUUGAAUUCCUCGCAAAGAGCUAAAGGACGGGUAUUUUUCCCUGGAAAGAGUUUCUUGCCAUGUCGAGGUACUCUAAUACUGAACAGCUGCCAAGUUCCCUGGGAAUUUCCCCUGACAAAUGUGUUAUCAGAAACAAGUAACUCAUUUAGGUUUUUCAGUUGACCAACAUCUGCUGGAAGAGAACCAGUGAAUGAGUUUUGUUGAAGGUAGAGUGAUCUCAACCGAUUGAAAUGACCAAUGACAUUUUCAGGUACACUACCACUCAACUUAUUGUGACUGAGGUCCAGAGUUUCCAUAUUGUGGCAGUUCCUGAGAGAUGUAGGAAUGUUCCCAUCCAAAUUGUUGUAGCUCAUGUUAAGGUGGAACAGUUGACUUAAGUUGCCGAGGGUGGACAGUAGCAGACCUGAUAGCCUGUUCUAACCGAAGUCCAAUUCUCCUAAGUUCUGAAGCUUGCCAGUUGAUGUGGGAAUGAUACCAGUGAGAUAAUUCCGAGUUGCAAUGAAUUGAAUCAAGUUGAUGAGGUUUCCAAUCUCUUUUGGGAUGUUUCCAGAUAUUUUGUUUUCUCCUAGGACGAGUUGCUGCAGUUGGGUUGAGAGAUUGACAAUGGAGUUGGGUAACACACCCCCAAAAUGAUUGCCUUCUGGAUUGAUUAACCUUAAACCGCUGAUGUUGGUGAGAGAAUUUAGAAAAUUUAAAUCGCCAGACAUUCCCCUUCCUAAACUAUUGAAGUCAAGGGUCAACCAAUACAGAUCCUUGAGCACUCCCAAACUAUCAGGGACUUUCCCAGUUAGAUGAUUGUCACCUAGAUCCAAAAGUUCAAGUCCUGAAAUAUUGGAUAGUGUAUCUGGAAUUAUUCCGGUAAACUGAUUCAUUGCUAUGCCAAACUUGCAGAGUUGAGGAGAACUGAGCCUCAUGUUUGACAUGAAAUUUCCAGACAGAUGGUUGUCAGUUGCUACAAAUUCAAUGACAGAUGACAAAUUAUGGAGGGAGGGAGGAAUCACACCAGACAAGUUAUUUGUACCUAGAUAUAAAUAUCUCGUGCUCUUCAAACGACCUAAUUCAUGUGGAAUAUUUCCCUCCAAAUGUACGCAAUGGACAGCCAAGAUGAAGGGUUUCCCAAAGUAAAUGGAAUAACCCCUCUUAGAUAGUUGGCACCAAGCCAUAGAUGUAGGAGUUUCGACAUAUGGCCAACGUGCAAGGGAAUCUGCCCUGUCAGAUUGUUCCUUGUGAAAUUCACAGUUCUGAAGCUUGAGCAGUUUGUCAGUUCAAUCGGAAUCUCACCUUGGAUAAAGUUCAUGCUCAGAUUGAGAUGUUGCAUCCGUGGCAAAUGGCCAAUAUCACUGGGAUGGUACCGUGCAAGUUAUUGUUGGACAAUUCCAACUCUCUGAGAAAUGUUAAGUUUUCAAUAGGAGGCAAGGAACCAGCUAAUCUCUGACUCUCCAACCUCAAGGCUGUGACCCUCUGAAGUUGGUGACUGCAUGUAACCCCCUCCCACUGGCAGAAGUGCAGAGAGUCAAUACAGGAGCUCAGAUUAAUAAUUGUUUAUGAUUAAGCUAUCUAUACAUAUUCAAUUUAUAUUUAUUAAAUAUGGGUCACCUUGUGUGUAGAGCCCAAGUCACAUGUGUCUUACAUGAUGGGCCUAAAACACAUGUGGCCCAACAACCAAUGGGUAUGGUCCCUAAGACAUAGUGGAAAUUAAUAAAAGGGAAAAUGAAACUGAAGUUUGGUGUCUUAAGUUUUCUUUUCUGAAAAUACAAAACAUUCCCUCUCCUGUCUCCUAUCACAAGAGAAAAAAUAGAAAGGUGGUUUCCUCCUCUAUUUCCAUAGAAAAAUCAUAUUUCUUCAAGAUCGAUAAUGGAUUCAGGUUUGUCUACACUCUCUAAUCUAAUCGGCAUGUUUUCUUUAUGAUUUAACAUGAGAUUUCUACAUUGGGUUGAUAAUGACGUUUACAACAUUGGUUUCUUUAGAUUUCAAUUUAAGGGAUUCAGAUCUAGAACUUCUACAUGAUAUUCUCAUAGCAUCCCUUUGAAAAUGGAGGAAAUGGGAAUUAAAAUGGGCAAAAGUGAUUAAAAUGUAAGUUUGAACUAGAGAUUCAAGCUAUUCAAGAAUCAAACAUUGAGGCACUUGUUUAACUUCUGUCAGUGGUCAAGGAUUGCCAACAUUGUAGUGCAACAGUCAUUAACAAAAGUGGCUUUGACUUGGUAAUUUGUAAGGAUAAUUUGUCUUAUAUAUCUAACGUGUCUAAGGUGUUUUCAGUUUUUUUUUUCCUUUCAUUUUUAAUGGAUUUAUUAUUUCAUUUUAUUUUAUUUUGUGUUUUGUUUUGUUUCUUCACAGUCUAAUAUAUUUUCUUUGCACAUGGGCUACAUCUCAUUCGGUAUUGUUUUAUAAAUUUCUUAUUACCUCUAAAAAUGUAUUUGCAAAUGUAUCCUAAAAUGUUAUUUUUAUUGUUGCUUCUAUAUUUUCAAUUUUGAUUAUUCACUGGGAAUUUAUACAUUGAUGAUGUUUAAUGCUAACCAAGUUAACUUUCCAACAAUAUAAUAAGUUAGGGCAUCAAACUGAGAAAUGAAGGGGUUUCUCUUACUACAGGCAUUCUGGAGGAAUUCUAUUAUCAAGCUGCCUUUAUCAAUGCAGUAGUCAUAGGUCACAAGUUUUCUUUUUACAACUUGAUAUUGUUUUUCUUUGUUAGGUCAGCCUCCAGUACUGCUCUGUGUUUCAUCAAAACUUAGGGAAGUAGUAUAUAUAUAUAUAUAUAUAUAUAUAUAUAUAUAUAUAUAUUGGAGUGAUGAGCAGGGUAGCUGAUGAUGCCAAAAAACUUGGAUAAGGAGCUCUGAAUGGUGAAUUAGUCCAGUUCAAUUUAGGUAGGACCACCAUCAUCACCCGACUAGACCCAUCCCAUAUACUUGCCAUUAUUGAGCUUGGAUGUGUGGGGCUAGCCCACUCCUAUAUGCGAUUAGUUCUUGAAAACUUGGAUAGGAAUGCCAUCAACAGAAAACCUAUAAAGUCAGCAAAAAUUAGAGAUGAAACAAGUUAAAUUUCGUAAACUGAAAAAUGUGGGAACCUAUUAAAGGGUUGCAAAUGCAAUUUGUUUUGGUCGGUAGGUUUUUGAGAUUAGUAGAGAAAAUAAUAUGUUGUGAUAAUAGUUAGUCCAUCAUUAUAUACGACCAAUAGUAUCAGUGAAAGACACACAAGAGCUUCAACUAGAAUGCAUGUUAUAUGUAAUAAACUGUAUAGAACUCUCAAACCCAGUGGUACUUAAGCUCCUAGCAUCUGUUUCGACUGGGAAUCUGCAAUAAAAACCUUCUACCAAAUCACUGUUUCGUGUUGAAGGAAGAGAUUACAUUUGGAUUUGGGAGCAUUGACAAGCCCCAGACUACGUGUAUAUCAAUAUACUCUGGGUUUCAUGGGCCUACAAACAAGAAAUCAUAGGUUUUGGAAUAGAAUACCAAAGGUAAGUUCCAGAUGAAGUGUUCUAGUGUUCUUUGUUGUUAUCAUUAUUAGCCUUCUUUUCUUUCUUUCUGUUUUUUGUUUUUUCCUUCUUUAUUACGAAGAAGGUCAUGAUUUCUUUCUUGAAACAAGUUUGCAGGAAUGACAAGGGGAAGGAGGUUGUGUCAGAUAGGGUAUGCAUUUUAGAGGUGCAAAUUAUUGAAGUUUUUGGGAUUUGACUCAUCUUUGUAACAUUAUUAUUUCCCUUAGAUUGUUCUUUAGAUGCAUGCAAUGUCAACAGUUUAAAUAUGAAAUUCAUGGCUGAUAAAAGGCCCUCCCUUAUACCGGCUGUGGAUUUUAAAACCAUCUCUCACAUGACAUGCACUCAUGCUAUGGCACGACCUGUUGAGAUAAUCGAGGGAAGGGAUACUUUAAUACAUUUUAAGAAAAUGGUUGUCUUACUUAAUUUGAUAUGUUCCAAAGGAUUUUAUAGGAAGGGAAGCCUGGAGUGGGAUCAAACCAUGGCUUAAAUCCUCUGCUCCCUCUUUCCUACACCAUUUACAAAGACAUUGGUCUGUGGAUGAUGUGGGUCUUGUUCUCUAGAUUGCCCAAAAGCUCAAAAUCCAAGUCAAAACAAUUUACAUUAGAAAUCAACACCGGAAUGAGUUUCUUCAUGUUGCUCUUUGUUUUAGUCACACACUCAUCUUACAUAGAAAGCUGUCACAACCCUCCCUAAAGAGUUACUCCCAAGUAGCAUCAAAUGCAUGUGGAAGAACCCAACCCACAUCCAAAAGUCUCCAGUGAUGAUUCAAAGGCCCGCCCUGUUUACCAUAAAGUAAUUACGAUUAAGACUCUAGAUAUAGAAACCCUUGAUAAGUUUGUUAUGAUGGCAGUAGAAAGAGAAAUAAAGUUGAACGAAAUGAGCAGAGGCAUGGUCGAGAACAAUGUUUUUGGAACUGGAUCAUUUAUUGAAUUGAAAAAAUUACGGGUUUAUGGUUUAAUGGUCAAACCGGUCAUUGAACCGAGUUUAAAUCGGUGAGGUCAUAAAUAUAUAAUUUAUAUAUUAAAAAAUAAAUUAAAAAUUUUUAAUAUAAAGAAAUUAAAAAAUAAUAAUAUUUAUUUUUCAUCUUUGAUAUUAUUAAACUUAAAUCAUGAAUAAAUAUAAAUGUAUUAAUAUUUUAAUUUUUUAAAAUAAAAUAUGUAUAAUCUUUAAAUGUGAAGAAAUAUAUUAAAAUAGAAGAAAAUUCUUUUAUUUAUAUUAUAUUAUUUUCUUAUAUUAAAAAAAAUUAAAUAAUUAUGUUGAUUUAGUUUAUUUUGAAAUUUUAAAGAACAACCAUUAGUAGUAAAGUGGUCAUAGUCCUGACAUGUGAAUUUUAUGGAUUUUUUAAAACUCAUCCCACAUAGGAAGUUGAUAAGGAGAAUGCCUUUAACUGUCCAUUUCAUGAUAUAAUAAGCAUGCAAGAGGGCUCAAGACAGAGCCUUGUCCUGGUAAAAAAGGUCAACCUAGAACCAAUGGUUCAAAACUAGUUCAAUGUGUACUUCAGCCCAAAGGCUAUGGACUGAACCGAACCAAGCUUUGGUCAAUGGUUGGACCAAUCAGACUAGUUGGUCCAGUCGGAACUUUGUAUAUUUUCUCAAAGGUAGGGCCGCUUUGGGUAUUUGCAAGUAUUGUCUCAUCUAAAACUAAUGGUUAGAAACUCAAUAAAUAACUUGACUCUCUUUUUGUAUAUAUUAUUUUUUGAAAACUAUACUUGCACCUAAAUCAAAAUAUAUCAUCAUCAAUUAUACAAUAUCAUAUAUAUAUAUAUAUAUAUAUAUAUAUAUAUAUAUACAUAUUUAAUUGGACUUCUUAUUAUCUUAAUAUCGUAUAUUUAGAGCUCAUUUAAUUGUGUGAUUUAAAAAUAGUUUUUAGUUAUUAAAAAUAAAAAAUUGUUUUUAAUAUCAUUUGACGGUUGUUCUCUGAAAAUGAUUUUUAAAAAUAAAAUGAAAUAAAGAACAAUUUUUAGGAAACAAAUAAAGUUAUUUUCAUAAAUUUUAAAAAAUAAAAAUAAAAUAUGAGUCCGUUUAAUUAUGUUUUUAAAAAUUUGUUUUUAAGUUAAAGAAUAAAAAAUAGUUUUUAAAAACAAAUUUAAAAAACAUGGUAAAAAAAGACUGUUAUACUCUCAUUCAAAUGAUCAAGAUUUUGACUUCAGUUCCAUAUGUUGGUAUAUUAAAAUUUUUCUAUAUUAAAAAAUUUGGAUAUGAAUCAUAUGAUACUAUAAGUUGGUGCCAUGAAUGUUUCCUGAAAAACAAGAAAGGAAGAAGGGGGGAAGCCGGAAAGGUGCGGCGGUGGUGAGAAAAGCGAUGAUAUGAUAUAAUUUUUUGUAUUGCAUCAAAGUUUUCAAUAAAAUUCUAAGCAACCAUGAAAGUUGUUCAUCAUGUACCUGACACUUUGGACCGAGAUGAUGGCUCCUUUUUGGCUUCUAUUUCAUGUCACGUGCCUCGAAUAAUGUUAAAAAUAAAAAAAAUUAAAUAUAUACAUAUUUUAUAUUAUUCCAUAAAGUUGUGUUGAAAAUAUCAAUAUAUGUUAUUUAAAUUAUUCCUUAUUUUAUGUUUUAAGUUUUAAAUUAUUCCUACACCGUUUUGUAAUUUACUUUUUCUCAAAAUAUGUUUUAAGUUUUAACCACCUCGAAAAUCUUAUGUAAAACUUUCAUAAAUGAUUAAAAAAAUUAAUAACAUACAUUAGGUUGAGUGUUUUUUUAAUAAAUAAUUUAAUAAUGAAACCCAUAUAAAAUAAAUGUUAUUUAAAUUAUUCCUUAUUUUAUAUUUUUCUAAAACUCAAUAAAUAAUUUUUUGUAAUGGUAUUUCUCAAAAAGUUUAAACUCCUUAAUUUCAAAUAUUAUUUUUCUAACCAUAAAUCAUCUUUGAAAUAAAUAUUUUAAAAAUGAUAGUUUGAUUUAUCAUUUAAAUGUAAGUGUUUUAUAUAAAUUAUUUUAAAUUAACAUAAAAACUUUUUAGUUAUUAUUUGUUAGAAUUUUCAUAUUCUUUCAAAAGAGUAUAAAGUUCGUGUUAUUAAUUGUAUUUUUUUUCCUAUUAUUAUGCUUUUUAUAUAAUUUUUUUUUAAUUGGAUGAGUAAAAAAAAUAUUUAAAUAUAAAAUCUUAUAAAAAAGAAAUAAAAAUUUAUUAAACAACAAAUAUGAAUUUUUUGCUUUUAUAUUCUUUAUUAUUUAAAGUUUGUUUAUAUAGUUAUUACACCAACAUUGGCCUCACGAUGGAUUGAGCAAAACAUUUUCAAUAACCACUCAAUUAAUAUAAAGGAAAAAGAAAUCUAAAGAAGAGGCAAGAGAAAAGACUGGAGCACAUCCUCUCCACCACAAAACUAAAAAGCAUCUUAUUCAAACAUAAGUUUGUCUUAUCCUAUCCAACGUCAUCAUCCAACCAAGGAAAUGCAUUAUUAUUAUUUUUUUAUUUUUAUUAAAAAAAAAUAGAAAUUAAAGAAGAGACAAGGGAAAGGACAUAUGCAGCCCCCUCCAGGGCCUCCACCACACAACCUUGCCGUGAAGGGUGGUUUUCCCAAAACAGACUGUAAACGGAGCUGACAGCCAAAACUGUCAUAGCAUGGAUGUCAUUGUACUUACAUGGCAUGGAUGUCAUCAUAUGCGUCAUGGAAAUUUAGUUUUAUUUAAUUUUUAUUUAUUUUACUCCUUUUUAAAAUAAAAAAAUUUUGAUUAAAAAAAUUAAAAUUUUAGCUGACAGAGAGAAUUUAAAAAUGUAAAUAACAUACCAUAAAAUAAUAUUAAUAUAGAACAUUAUUCAAUAUAAAUAAAAUGCUUUUAUAUAUCUAAUAGCAUAAUGUAAUGUUUUUUUAUUUAUAAAUUCUAAAUAUUUUAAACACAAAUGUUAUUAUCAAAGAAAUAAAAAAAAUUAUUUACUAAAUUUUCAUUUAUACACUUCAUUUUGUCUAGUUUCAAAAAUAGAAAAUAAUAAUAACUUUACUUUUAAAACUUUACAUUAAAAAACUAAUGAUUUUUUAAAACUAUUUUAAAAAUAAAGGUAUUCAUAAAAAUUUAAUAUCUUAAAUUUAAAAUUUUUUGAAAGUUAUUUUUAAAAUUAUAAACUUGGUCUACACUUUUUGUAUAAGAGGAUUUUUUUUUUUUUAUAAGUUCUUACUAUUUUUUUAAAAUUAAAAAAAAACACCAAGAAGUAUGUCCAAAUGGACAUGAAAUUAUAAAUUAUCAAAUGAUUUUCAAAUAGUUGAGAAAGAUUUUCUAUAUAUAUUGUAGACCUGGUUGGCUGGGGGCCCCAAGGAGCAAGAGAUUGCUUCUUUUUCUUUAGAAAAGUGGGUGAGAUUGGAUAGGGGAGGACGGGAGCAGCUGGGAGAUUGGAGGGGGGAAAAGAAAAUGAUAAGAGAAGGGAAGUGGCAGCAGAUUGGAGGGGGGGUUUUUGGGUAGAAAAAAAAAUAUGGGAAGGAAAAUCUUGAAGAGAGAAAAUGGGCAGCAGCUAGGGGAGAAGAAGGAAACCGGGCAGCACAUGCACUGGAGAGGAAAACCGGGCAGCACAUGCAUUGGAGAGGAAAACCGGGCAGCACAUGCAUUGGAGGAGAUUUUGGGCAGCACAUGCAUUGAAAGAAGAAAAAAAAUCUGGGGACAAGAGAGGAAACCGGGCACCAAAUAGACCUUUCUUCAACCUCUCGGCCUCUCUCUUUGUUUUCCAUCUCCGGGUACUUUCUUUUCUCCACUCCAUGCUUGUUUUUUUUAACUUCUUUUCUAAGCUCAUUGUUGGAUAUAUAGGGUGAGGAUGAUAUGAGUUUAUUUAGGUUCUUAUUAUUGGAGCUUUGUUCUACCAUCUUCACCGCCAACCUGCCACCACUGAUCUUCAACCCGGAAUUUUUUUUAAAAAAAGAGUGAAACCAUCUUUUGAUCUUUGAAUGAAUAUUUUAGGCAAUGGGUUUUGUUGGUGGGCUCCCAAGGCAUUGACUUGUGGGUUUAAAUAGGUUCAUGUGGGCCUUAAGCCCUUUUCUUUUAGUUUGGGCCGGAUGGGUAAUGUUUGUUUGGGUCUCCUAGGUUGGGCUUUGCUGAAGCUGAAGGUUAUUUGGCACUUUUUUUUAUGGGCUUGAGAUGGAGCCCAAGGCUCUUUUAAUGAAUGGACAUGGGCCUUUUUUUUAUGAAUGGACAUGGGCUUGAUGGAGAGAUGGAGCCCAAGGCUCUUUUAAUGAAUGGACAUGGGCCUUUUUUUUAUGAAUGGACAUGGGCUUGAUGGAGAUGGAGCCCAAGGCUCUUUUAAUGAAUGGAGCCCAAAGCUCUUUUAAAGAAUGGACACGGGCUUAUGGACUUGGGCUUGGUGUAGAUGGAGCCCAAAGCUCUUUUAAUGAAUGGAUGUGGGCUUGGUGUAAAUGGAGCGCAGAGCUCUUUUAAUGAAUGGACUUGGGCUUGAUGGAGAUGGAGCCCAAGGCUCUUUUAAUGAAUGGACAUGAGUUUCUUUUAAUGAAUGGACAUGAGUUUCUUUUAAUGAAUGGACAUGGGCUUGAUGGAGAUGGAGCCCAAAGCUCUUUUAAUGAAUGGACUUGGGCUUGAUGGAGAUGGAGGCCAAGACUCUUUUAAUGAAUGAAGCCCAAAGCUCUUUUAAUGAAUGGACUUGGGCUCAUAGACUUGGGCUUAUGAUGGGGAUGGAACCCAAAGCACUUUCAAAAUCUUAUUAUUAUUAUUAGUCUUAUUAUUAUUAUUAUUAUUAAUUCAAACUUUCAAAAUCUUAUUAUUAUUAUUAUUAUUAUUAUUAAUUCAACUUUCAAAAUCUUAUUAUUAUUAUUAUUAUUAAUUCAAACUUUCAAAAUCUUAUUAUUAUUAUUAUUAUUAUUAUUAUUAUUAUUAUUAUUAUUAUUAUUAUUAUUAUUAUUAUUAAUUCAAACUCUCAAAAUCUUAUUAUUAUUAAUUCAACUUUCAAAAUCUUAUUAUUAUUAUUGAUCUUAUUAUUAUUAUUAUUAUUAUUAUUAAUUCAAACUUUCAAAAUCUUAUUAUUAUUAUUAUUACAAAUUCAACUUUCAAAUGUCGAUGUUUUCGCAGUUCAAUUUCCUAAAGUCCAUUUCUCAUUUUCUUUAACAAAUUUCCAUUUAAUCACCGGAGCUCUAAUCUUUUAAAUUUAAUUCCAAAUACUCCAAUUUUCAAAUAAACUACAAGAAUCCAGUUUUCACUCGAAUAGUUUUAAUCCCAUUUCAGUUCCUAAAUAAUCUUCUGAUCUUCUUGAUUUUACAUAAGCAAUAAUGAUUCCUUCAUAAUUCUAAAACACGGGAUUUGUGAGAUUAGCUCAUGAACAAUAAAUUAGGCUUUGUUGGGGGCCCUAUGUUUGAUCCCUUUUGACUGUCAAUUGUUGUGCUUAAUAUAUUUUGCUUGAGCUUCGUUUUGCACUCCGAUAUGCAUGGGCUAUACUUUGUAUUCAUUAAUUGUGCACUAAUCUCGUUUCUUGAUAGCGCAUUGUGGCUCGUGGCCAAGGUACACAUCCACUCCCAUUCUAGUCAAUCUCUAUUGUGUGUUUUGAUUUUCAUAUUAUGCAUGAUUUAGGUGCGUAUCCAUUGACUUUCUCGUUGAUCGUCGCGUCAGUUUCAUUUUAUUAGUAGAGACCCAUUUUAGAGACUUAGAGAGGUGUUAUGGUCUUUACCGUACCUUCCCGAUAAGUAACCUGACCCCCGAACCCGAUCCGGUUUUUCGUAGACCACAUUUUCCAAAAUAAGGAGUCACACUUAGGGUUUUUCUUUCUUAUUUUGUUUACCCUUUAAAAAUAAAACAAAAAUAAGUGUUUCAAUCAAUUAAAUCAUUUUUCAAAUAAAAAUCGAGCUCGCCAUUCGAGUGGGAAACGCAUGAGCCGAAAUGCGAGGUCCACAAUAUAUAUAUAUAGGUUUUUCGUAGACCACAUUUUCCAAAAUAAGGAGUCACACUUAGGGUUUUUCUUUUUUAUUUUAUUUACCCUUUAAAAAUAAAACAAAAAUAAGUGUUUCAAUCAAUUAAAUCAUUUUUCAAAUAAAAAUCGAGCUCACCAUUCGAGUGGGAAACGCAUGAGCCGAAAUGCGAGGUCCACAAUAUAUAUAUAUAUAUUUAUAUAUAUAUAAUAGGAAUGCAAUAUAUUUUUUAUUUUAAAAAAAUGGAUGUUGAGAUGUAAUAAAAUUUCUAUUAUAUUUUUUAUUCCUUUUAUAAAUUAAAUAUAAACAUGCAAUAAAAUAUUAUGUUGGAUUUAAUAUCUAAAAUACCAUUAUCACUUUAGAUAUAGUAUAUUAAGAUUUGAUUAUGUUAUGUCUUAUUUUAUCCAUCAAUUAAAUGCAUCCUCCAUAUUUUAUACCGAUCUUGCACAUGGAAAAGGCAAAAUGGAACUAAUUAGGCCACGUCAUAUAUGUAAUUUAAGUUUUAUCAUGUUAUACACUAGGUCUUUAACUUUGUACCUCAAAUAUGAUUUUAGUACUUUGUACCUUGACCUCAUUCUUGUUAGCAUCUUUAUUCAAAGCUCUAAAUUUUAUCAUAAACUUUGAAUGACUGCUUGGAUUUGAACUUCAAUAGAUGUCAAUUUGGUACCUUAGACCUUUUCGGAUCUUAAAAACAUAAAAGAAAAAUAAAAUUUUAAAUAAUGAAUUUGAAGAAAAAUGAUACCUUUGAUCUUAAUUUGAAGAAAAAAAGAAUGAAAUUGUGUGGACCCCGCAUUUCGGCUCAUGCGUUUCCCACUAGAUGGUGAGCUCAAUUUUCAUUUGAAAAAUGAUUUUUAUUGAUUAAAAAAAUGACUUGGAGUCGCCACUUAUUUUUGUUUUAUUUUUAAAAGGGUAAACAAAAUAAGAAAGAAAACCCUAAGCGCGACUCCUUAUUUGGAAAAGGUGAUCUACGAAAAACCGGAUCGGGCUCGGGGGUCAGGUUACUUAUUGGGAGGGUACGGUAAAGACCAUAGUACUCCUCUAAGUCCCUAAAGCCGGGUCUCUACUAAUACAAUGAAACUGACGUGGCAAUCAACGAGAAAGUCAAUGGAUACUCACCUAAAUCAUGCACAAUAUGAGAAUCAAAAACACGCAAUAGAGAUUGACUAGAAUGGGAGUGGAUGCGUACCUCGGCCACGAGCCACAAUGCGCUAUCAAGAAACGGGAUUAGUGCACAAUUAAUGAAUACAAAACAUAGCUCAUACAUAUCGGAGUGCAAAACGAAGCUCAAGCAAAAUACAGUAAGCACGAUAAUUGACAGUCAAAAGGGAUCAAACAUAGGGCUUCCAACAAAGCCUGAUUUAUUAUUCAUGAGCUAAUCUCACAAAUCACGUGUUUUAGAAUUAUGAAGGAAUCACUAUUGCUUAUGUAAAAUCAAGAAGAUCAAAAGAUUAUUUAGGAACUAAAAUGGGAUUAAAAACUAUUCGAGUGAAAACUGGAUUAUUGGAGCUUGUUUGAAAAUUGGAGUAUUUGGAAUUAAAUUUUAAAUAUUAGAGUUCCGGUGAUUAAAUUGAAAUUUGUUAAAGAAAAUGAGAAACGGACUUUAGGAAAUUGAACUGCGAGACCAUAGACUUUUGAAAGUUGAAUUUAUAAUAAUGAUAGUAAUAAGGUCUUGAGAGUUUGAAUUAAUAAUAAUAAUAAUAAUAAGAUUUCGAAAGUCUGAAUUAAUGAUAAUAAUAAUAAUAAUAAGAUUUUGAAAGUGUGAAUUAAUAAUAAUAAUAAUAAUAAGAUUUUGAGAAUCGAAUUAAUGAAAAUAAUAAUAAUAACAAUAAUAAUAAUAAGAUUUUAAAAGUUGAAUUAAUGAUAAUAAUAAUAAUAAUAUUUUGAAAGUUGGGUUAAUAAUAAUAAUAGUAGGAUUUUGAAAGUUAAAUUAAUAAUAAUGAUAAUAAUAAGAUUUUGAAAGUUGAAUUAAUAGUAAUAAUAAUAAUAAGAUUUUGAGAGUUUGGAUUAAUGAUAAUAAUAAUAAAAAGAUUUUGAAAGUGUGAAUUAAUAAUAAUAAUAAUAAUAAUGAGAUUUUGAGAGUUUAGAUUAAUGAUAAUAAUAAAUAGAUGUUGAAAGUGUGAAUUAAUAAUAAUGAUAAUAAUGAGAUUUUGAAAGUUGGGUUAAUAAUAAUGAUAGUAAUGAGAUUUUUGAAAGUUGGGUUAAUAAUAAUAAUAAUAGGACUUUGAAAGUUUGGAUUAAUGAUAAUAAUAAUAAUAAUAAAUAGAUGUUGAAAGUGUGAAUUAAUAAUAAUGAUAAUAAUGAGAUUUUGAAAGUUGGGUUAAUAAUAAUAAUAGUAAUGAGAUUUUUGAAAGUUGGGUUAGUAAUAAUAACAAUAGGAUUUUGAAAGUUUGGAUUAAUGAUAAUAAUAAUAACAAUAAAUAGAUUUUGAAAGUUGAGUUAAUAAUAAUAAUAAGAUUUUGAGAGUUUGGAUUAAUGAUGAUAAUAAUAAUAAUAAAUAGAUGUUAAAAGUGUGAAUUAAUAAUAAUGAUAAUAAUGAGAUUUUGAAAGUUUGGAUUAAUCAAUAAUAAUAAUAACAAUGAUAAUAAUAAUCAAUAAUAAUAAUAAUAAUAAUAAUAAUAAUAAUAGGCUUGGGUCUGGGCUCCAAAUUCAAACCCAAGCCCAAAGCCAAAACCAAACACAAAAUUGGGCCUAGUGCCUUAUCUCAAGCCCAAACCAAAUCUUCAUCUUCUUCCUAGCUUCUUCACAGCCCAACAGCAUCUUCUCCAUCUGGGCAACUCCUUUAGGAUAUCUCCACCAGCGUCGGGAUGGUGGAGAUGCGUGGCUUUUGAAGCCACGGCACCAGCCGGUGGACGUCUCUGCUAAUGGCGUCGUCGACCAUGCCGCGGGAGCAGUCGAAGAGGACGGCGAGCAGGCCGCCGUCGACAGCCUAGAGAGAGGCGUCCCGAACCGAAGCAGCAACGCCGAACUCCAAAGGUGGCUCCGGCGAGGUCUGUGGGGAAUGGAAGGCUUGCUUGGCUGCUGCCCGCUCCCAGCCACUGAAGAGGACUUGCGCACAUGGAGGUGUGAGUGAUGGUGAUUAUACGGGCAUAGAGAAAGAAAAGGUGGCGAGAAAUGGGAUUGGCGUGGAGAUGGGUAUGGAAAGCUGGGUGAGUGGAAUCAAACGGGUAUUAAAAUCAAGAUAUGCUUACGGGAAUCUCAUGAGGAAUCUGAAACAAUACUAAAUUUAUCUUCAAUAAGAACCAAAUAAAUAAUGAACCUGAACAUGCUAUAACCCCAUCAAACCAUUCUAAAGCUCAGCUGAGAUGCACAUAUGGCAUUGGACUUCUAUUCCCAUUCAACUAAUAGCAUCCAAUAGUCAACAAAGAUAGAGAAGAAAAACAGAUAAGUUGAAACGAAGUGGAAAAAUCCAUAAUAUUCAUACCUGAGGACAUUCUUCUUUUUCCAGAUGGGUUGGCUUCCUUACUGCUCUUUCUCCCCCAAAAGUCUCUCCUCAAAUAUCCUCCAACGACCAGCCCAGAGCUCCUCCUCCGCAGCUGAAAAAAAACUCUCUCCCUAAAACCAGGAAGACCCUUGCCCCUCUGCUGCUGCUCGCCACCUCAAAAUGACCCCCCCCCCCCCCCCCCCCCCCCUCUGCUCACUCUUCCAGAUGGCAGAAAAAGCUCUCUGCUCCUCCUGAAUCCAUCUCUCUCUAGCCGCCAGCCCAGAAAGCUCUGCCUCCCCCCGCAGCUUCAGAGCCCCCCAACCGUUUUUCUUCUCACGGUCUUUUCAUCCCUUUUCUUUUCUCUCUGUCAAGCUUCUAUUGGUUCCUCAAAAGCCCAUCUGAAUCUUCAACAGCCAAUCCGGGAGUGACACGUGGCUGCCUAAGAGCGCGACACUUGGCCAAAAACUAAUUGCAAAAAAUGAUUUAGAUAUAUCCCAAUUUGGGGGUCUACAAAUUGAAAGAGACAACAAUUAAAAUAUGAAUAAGGAAAAUAGGAAAAUGAAAUUUAUUAUAAUUUUUCAUCUUUUUUUGUUUGGUCUUUUAUUUCCUCAAUUUUUUUUUUGUAUUUAAAUAUAAGAAAAUCACAUUCCUUAAUAUUAUUUUCUUAUUUUUUUAAUAUUUUUUAAAAAUCAAACUGUGGACUCGGUAUUUUUCACGUGCGUCCCCAUUCGAUGGCGAGAUUUAUUUGGUGAAAAUUCGAUUUUUUGAAAAAGACUUGGAGUCGUCACUUAGUUUUAUUUUAUUUUUUUAAGGGAAAAACAAAAUAAGAAAUAAAAACCCUAAAUGUGACUCCUAAAUGAAAAACAGGUUUGCGAAAAACCGAAUUUGGGUUCGGGAGUCAGGUUACCUAUUGGAAAUGUAUGGUAAUGAAUUGUAACACCCCUUUAAUCCCGCAUACAUACGGUCUCUACUAAACGAAUUAAGAGAAUUGUGACAAUUAAUUAAUUAAUUAUGUAUACUAAGAAAAAUAACAUAUAAAAUUAUGGUAAAAAUCAAUAUACACAAAAAUAAUGAUGAAAUCUAAUUAAAAGAAUACACAAAAUAAAUGACAAAAGAAUUAUGCAAAAUGAUUUAUUUAAAUAAAUAAGAUAUUAAAAAAAUAUUUUUUUUCAAGAAAUUUCAAAGGAUUUUAUUAAAAACAAUUUUGAAUGAGUGAUUUCAAUUUAUUUAUUUACAAAAAAAAAGUCAAUUUAUUUUCUCAAUUUCAUUUGUAUUCAAUUUUUAGAAAAUUUAUUUACACUUAUUGUAUCAAAAGAAUUUAUUACAAAAUUUCAAUUUUGCAACAAAAAAAAUAUUUUUACUUGUUUUUUUAAAAAAAAGAACUUUUAUAAUUUUAUUUACAAAAGUAUUUGAAUUUGUUUUCAUUUAAGAAAAGUUACUUAUACAAUAUACACACACAUAUAUAUAUAUAUAUAACUUUAUUUGCAAAAGAAUUUUUAAAUAAAAAUUAAAUUUUUGGACAACUUUAUUUACAAAACAAUUUUUGGACAUUUUUUACUAAACAAAGAAUUUUUUAGACAAUGAUUAUUAAAAAACAAAUUUUUAAAUGCUAUUAAAAACAUUUUUUUGGAUUUUUCUAAAAGCAUUUUUCUGAAUUUUUAUUAAUAAUAAAAACUUUCUUUUACUUAGAAGAAUAUUUUAAAAUUAUUAUUUUAUUAAAACAUAUUUACUGAAUUAUUCUUUUUAUUUAAACAAAAUCUCUUAUUUGUUCGAAAUUCGAUUUUGUAAACACUCAAUAAAUAUUUACAAAUAAAUAUUUAUAGAAACUAGUAAAAAUAAAAUCAAAUAAAAUUGGGAAAUAAAACCUGUAUUCAAAUAAGCUUACAACAAGUUCAAUGUCUUCCUAAAACUUUUUUAUUCUCACUUUCUUCCAUGAAAUUUCAUACUCCACGCGUCAUAAAUUUGUACUCAGCCAACAAAAUUGUAGAAUAGACCCAUGCAAAAACAAAAAUAGCCCAAAUGUAAAUAUUCAAAGAUGUACAAAAUCCCAAACAAAUAUUCAAACCAAAAUUUAAAUUUCAAAUUAAUCUUAUAAAUUUCGUUAAUUAAAAUAAGUCCAAAUUACUAUAGGUUUUAGCCUAAAAUAUUCAAAUUAAUAACAAAAAAUACAAACACAAUCAACCAAACCUAAACCGAGAAGGAGAGUACCUCAACCGAGAAGGGAAGGUUACUGGAUGAGAGAAAAUGUUUUUGACACUUCUCGACCAGACCUUGAUCGGACAAGGGCAACCGAUCAACCGGUUCCCUGGUCGGUUGAGCCGGUUGGCCAAUGCCUCGACUGGUUCAGCCUUUUGGCCCCAAAAACCUAUCUUUUUCGGUUCUUUUCCUUUCCAAUACUUACGUAAGGUAUUUAGGUAAAUUAAUAUGUCAAUUUUGAAACGUUUUGCCUAAGGUACAUGUGGACCCCGUAUUUCGGCUCAUGCGUUUCCCACUCGAUGGCGAGCUCGCUUUUUAUUCGAAAAAUGAUUUUAUUGAUUAAGAAAAUGACUUGGAGUCGCCACUUAUUUUUGUUUUAUUUUUAAAAGGGUAAACAAAAUAAGAAAGAAAACCUUAAGCGUGACUCUUUAUUUUGAAAAAGGUGGUCUGUGAAAAACCAGAUCGGGCUCGGGGGUCAGGUUACUUAUCAGGAAGGUACGGUAUAAACCAUAACAUUCCUCUAAAUCCUUAAAGUUGGGUCUCUACUAAUACAAUGAAACUGACGUGGCAAUCAACGAGAAAGUCAAUGGAUACUCACCUAAAUCAUGCACAAUAUGAGAAUCAAAACACGCAAUAGAGAUUGAUUAGAAUGAGAGUGGAUGCGUACCUCGGCCACGAGCCACGAUGUGCUAUCAAGAAAUGAGAUUAGUGCACAAUUAAUGAAUACAAAACAUAGCUCAUGCAUAUCGGAGUGCAAAACGAAGUUCAAGCAAAAUACAUUAAGCACGACAAUUGACAGUCAAAAAGGGAUCAAACAUAGGGCCCCCAAUAAAACCCAAUUUAUUGUUCAUGAGCUAAUCUCACAAAUCCCGUGCUUUAGAAUUAUGAAGGAAUCAUUAUUGCUUAUGUAAAAUCAAGAAGAUCAGAAGAUUAUUUAGGAACUGAAAUGGGAUUAAAACUAUUUGAGUGAAAACUAUAUUAUUGGAGUUUAUUUGAAAAUUGGAGUAUUUGGAAUUAAAUUUAAAAUAUUAGAGCUCCGGUAAUUAAAUUGAAUUUGUUAAAGAAAAUGAGAAACGGACUUUAGGAAAUUGAACUGCGAGACCAUAGACUUUUGAAAGUUGAAUUUGUAAUAAUAAUAAUAAUAAUAAGAUGUUGAAAGUUUGAAUUAAUAAUAAUAAUAAUAAUAAUAAUAAUACUAAUAAGAUUUUGAAAGUUGAAUUAAUAAUAAUAAUAAUAAUAAUAAGAUUUUGAGAGUUUGAAUUAAUAAUAAUAAUAAUAAUAAGAUUUCGAAAGUUCUAAUUAAUGAUAAUAAUAAUAAUAAUAAUAAUAAUAAGAUUUCGAAAGUUUGAAUUAAUAAUAAUAAUAAUAAUAAUAAGAUUUUGAAAGUGUGAAUUAAUAAUAAUAAUAAUAAUAAGAUUUUGAAAGUUGAAUUAAUAAUAAUAAUAAUAAUAAUAAGAUUUUGAGAGUUUGAAUUAAUAAUAAUAAUAAUAAGAUUUUGAAAGUUGAAUUAAUAAUAAUAAUAAUAAUAAGAUUUUGAGAGUUUGAAUUAAUAAUAAUAAUAAUAAGAUUUCGAAAGUUCUAAUUAAUGAUAAUAAUAAUAAUAUAAUAAUAAUAAGAAGAAAUGAACUUUAGGAAAUUAAGUUGCGAGGAUAUAGAUUUUUAAUAAUAAUAAUAAUAAUAAUAAUAAUAAUAAUAAUAAUAAUAAUAAUAAGAAUUAAAAUUAAUAAUAAUAAUAAUAAUAAUUAAAAUUAAUAACAAUAACAAUAUUAAUAUAUGUUAAUAAUAAUAAUAAUAAUAUCUUAUAAUAAUAAUAAUAAUAAUAAGAAUUAAAAUUAAUAAUAAUAAUAAUAAUAAUAAUAAUGAUAAUAAUAAUAAUAAUAAUAAUAAUAUCACUAAUAAUAAUAAUAAUUAAAAUUAAUAACAAUAACAAUAUUAAUAUCCGUUAAUAAUAAUAAUAAUAAUAUCUUAUAAUAAUAAUAAUAAUAAUAAUAAUAAUAAUAUCACUAAUAAUAAUAAUAAUAAUAAUAAUAAUAAUAAUAAUAGCCUUUGGACGUCCACGAUCGGCGUUGCUUCGGACGCCGCUGUCCCCGUGGUGGGAUUUCACCACGCAAAAAAAAACUUCACCACGCGAAGAAAACUGGCCUGGAAUCAUACACAUGCCUGAAAAUCCUCCAGGGCUUCGACCACAAAACACACUGCAUGGAUGGCAGCCUCUCGUCGCUGCUCCGCCCAGAUCAGUACCUCCAAGGCCGCUUCGCCCAAGAACGAAGGAGUCGCAGUUCGGGGACCUGGAGCAUUGCCGACGAGCAUUGAUAGGAAAUCAGCCCGGAAGUCUUUUCUACAACAGGUCAGAGAGCUGACUUCCAUCUUCAAUGUAUGAAGAGUGUCAUCAGAUUAUCCAGUGGCGGGGUUCCAGAGGAUUAGAUAGUUUGGAAUCCCAGUAAGUCCCAGGUUCAAGCUUGGAAAUGGGUCAGUUAUCAAAACCAAAAUUUGUCUUAGAAGUUUUCUCAAUCGCACAAUGAGAGAUAGUGUCAUUUUUCCUUAUAAGGUUAGCAAUCUGCAUGCAUUUUAUGAGGGUGGAUGGAAGGUGCCCCUUUCACAAAGGCACUUCUCCAGUUUCGGUAACUCGGCCAUUGAUGGCCUCAUUCCCACAACCAACAAAGGAGCAAAGCAAUGAACAGAGAGGAGAAACAGCAGAGAACAAAACAUGAUUUUUAUAUAAUAAGAUUCAAGGAUGAAUUCAUACGUUAGGUACUUAUGGAAGGAGUCAAGAAAACCGAAAUAGAGUCAAAUAGAGCACAUACGCAUAUGGACAAAUUCAGCAAAACAAAACAAUAAUCCUUGACACCCAUACCAACCAACAAACCACUCCCAGAAAUCAACAGAAGGAUUUUAGUUAGCAGAACAAUAUCAUAACGUGAAAACAUGAAGUUCACAGAGAUUUUACCUAGAAGUUUUCUCCACGAGCAAGGUAUGUUCGUCUCUCCGCACCUUCCUCAUUUUCCCCUCAUUUUUUCCUCCUUCCUCCCUCUCUGCCAAAGAAAACCCCUUCCCGAAAGUCAACACCUAUUGCGCUAUUCACCACCUCAGCAUCUGUGGAGUCCCAACCACCCCCAUGGCUGCGGUCCUCUUCAUUGCCACGCGCCCCAUGCAUGGAGUUUUCUCUCAGCCGGUCCCCCCACUUAGGAAUGGUAAUUUCACGGGUUUUCCGGGUCACCCGCCUGACCCGCCCCUAUUGGGACGAGUAUAAGAACAUGGCAAUCGGGGAUGGGCCGGGUUCAGGCUUUUUUUAAAAACCUGAAUCGGGUUCGGGGCGGGGUCGGGUGUAGUUAUAAUUUGACCCGCCCCGCCUCGCCCCGCCCCGCCCCGAAUAUGAAAUUACAACUUUGUCCCCCACUUAUAAAUAUUAGCUUCCUCUCCUCAUUUCAGGUCUUCUUCUCUCAGUUCUCGUUCCUGUCUACGCUAGGGUUUUUCCUCCCACUCAAUGCAAAAAUCCAUCAAAUAAUCCAUUCGAAAAUCCAUCAGAUAUUUGCCUCUUCGUAUUCACCAUAUUUGUGGCCUACCAUCCCGGGGUUUUGUGGAGCCGUUUGGACGAUUUCUUUACUAGGUUUCAUCUCAAGGACUACGCUGUUUCGGAGGCAUCGAGGGAUUAUAGGAGGUUGGUGUAUGAGUUUUCAAAGAUGGGUUGUUUGAGAAAAAGGGGCAUGGGGUGUUUGUCACGCUCUGUGCGAUGGCGAUGAUGUUCUCCGCCUGUAUUUAUGGGGUUCUGGGGUGUGACAGCACAUGGGUUCAUAUCGCCAGUGGCACUUUGAUGGGCCUUUUCUGGAUUCAGAGUGGGUGGAUUGGGCACGAUUCUGGGCACUACUAGUGAUGAUGAACAAGCGUUUGAAGUUUGAACCGCUUUGUGCAGGUGUUGAGUGGGAAUUGUUUUGUGGAAUUGGAAGAUGCUGUUGAUGGUCCUGGCGGCAUGGGCCAGCACCCGACCCUGCCUCGCCUCGAGAGGCAUGGGGAUGGGAUCCCAUUAACCCACCCCGCCUCGGGUAUGGGACGGGGAUGGGAAAUAGAUUUAUAUAAUUGAGACGGGAAUGGGGUAGGGGUGGCCCCGCCCAAACCCGCCCCGUUGCCAAUCCUACCCUCAUUCCACCCAGCCAUCCCUCAAUGGUGGCGGGAAAGGCCUGAAAUCAAAAUAGACAUGCAAAGAAAACCCAAAAUCAAAAAAGGGGGUCUACAGUACAUUUGCUAAAACUCGAGUUUUAAUGAAAUUGUAACUUUAAAUAAUAAACCAAGUUUUCCAAAUAUGCAUAAAAAGAUAUAUAAAACCUAAGUGCACCCAUGUAUUCAUCUUACAUUUGUUUUAUAUGAUAAAGUCUUUCAAAUGUCUCAAUCUUAUAUCUAUUUGGUUUUUUGAUGAAUUUAUAAAUUUACACCUAAAAUUCUUUACCAUUCAAAUCAAUUAGUCACUUAACCAUGAUUUGUUAUCAUCAAAACCUGAUUAGGAGAACCCUUGGGCUAACAAUUACAAAUUCGGAAGGUAUCAAAUUUAUACCUUAGGAGUUCCUUUUAUUAAAUAUACAACAAGAGAUGAUAUAUAGAAGCUUAGAAAGUGAAUUAUUUUAGAGAAUGUUAAAAAUUUUGAUACACAAAACACAAAUUACUUAAAUAUAAAAUCGUAUCAAGGAUAAAUAUAAAUUUAUUAAACAAAAACUACAAAGUUUAUGCUUUUAUAUAUAUAUAUAUAUAUGCUGCUAUUGGCUUGAACAUUGGCCUCGCAAUGGACUAAAUAUUUCACUUUGACAAAACUUUUUCGUCCCCACUCAAUUAAUAAAGAAAAAUACACAAUUAAAAUAAAUAAACAAAAGAAAAAAAGAGUUGUGCACCUUCUCCCCACCACACAACUAAUAAAUUCUAUCAUAUUUGACUCAAUGGUGUUAUCCGUACUUCCUAACAUGGGUUGGCAAAAUAUAUUAGGGACUUUUAACAUAGAAAUUAAAGACUAUAUUUUGCUUUGAAAAUAUUAAAUAAAGGAAAAAAUUGUUAAAAAAAAUAAUUUUAUUAUAUUUGGUUUUAUUAUGAAAAAUAUAAUUAAAAUUAGUUAGAAAUUUAUAUAAUUUUUAUAUAAAAAAAUAAGUGAAAUAAGUUUAAAAUAGUAUAUAAAAAUAAUUUAUUUAUUUUUAUUUUUAUUUUUUAAUUUUUUUUCUCUUGCAUUUUAUUUAGAUAAAAAAAAAAAUAAAAAAAGAAGAGAUAAGGAAAAGGAAAGUACAUAUGCACUUUCUUUCUACCAAUGAUGAAAAUAUCGAUAAUUAUGGAUAUAUCGGUAUUUUGAUUUUACGGAUAUAUUAAAAAUAUCGAUGAAUAUUUUUUUUCACAAAUAUGGGUGAAGAGAAACUUAUUUAAAAUUCAUAAAAAUGCUUUAAAAAACUCCAAGAAUUGAUAAAAUAAGUAAGAAUACGUAUUUUAUAUAUAUAUAUUUUAUAUUAUUCCAUAAAGUUGUGUUGAAAAUAUCAAUAUAGUUUUAAAAUUGCUAUUUGGAAGAGUUCAGAUGUGUGGUCUUUUAUAUCACAUCCAGAAAAUUGAGAGGAUGAGUCAUAGAUCACUAUCAAAAUCAUUGUAAAUCACGUGACUCCUUGAUACGUGGCUGGUUGCUGUUGGUUCACCUCUCCUACUUCUCCUACACCGUUUUGUAAUUUACUUUUCCUCAAAAUAUGUUCUAAGUUUUAACCACCUCGAAAAUCGUAUGUAAAACUUUCAUAAAUGAUUUAAAAAAGUAAUAACAUAUAUUAGGUUGAGUGUUUUUUUAAUAAAUAAUUUAAUAAUGAAACCCAUAUAAAAUAAAUGUUAUUUAAAUUAUUCCUUAUUUUAUAUUUUUCUAAAACUCAAUAAAUAAUUUUUUGUAAUGGUAUUUCUCAAAAAGUUUAAACUCCUUAAUUUCAAAUAUUAUUUUUCUAACCAUAAAUCAUCUUUGAAAUAAAUAUUUUAAAAAUGAUAGUUUGAUUUAUCAUUUAAAUGUAAGUGUUUUAUAUAAAUUAUUUUAAAUUAACAUAAAAACUUUUUAGUUAUUAUUUGUUAAAAUUUUCGUAUUCUUUCAAAAGAGGAUAAAGUUCAUGUUAUUAAUUGUAUUUUUUUUUCUUAUUAUUGUGCUUUUUAUAUAAUAAUUUUUUUAAAUUGCAUGAAUAAAAAAAUAUUUAAAUAUAAAAUCUUAUAAAAAAGAAAUAAAAAUUUAUUAAACAACAAAUAUAAAUUUUUUGCUUUUAUAUUCUUUAUUAUUUAAAGUUUGUUUAUAUAGUUAUUGCACCAACAUUGGCAUGACGAUGGAUUGAGCAAAACAUUUCCAAUAACCUCUCAAUUAAUAUAAAGGAAAAGACAUAUUAAAAAGGAGGAAGAGAUCUAAAGAAGAGACAAGAGAAAAGACCGGAGCACAUCCUCUCCACCACAAAACUAAUAAGCAUCUUAUUCAAACAUAAGUUUGUCUUAUUCUAUCCAACGUCAUCAUCCAACCAAGGAAAUGCAUUAUUAUUAUUAUUAUUAUUUUAUUAAAAAAAAUAGAAAUUAAAGAAGAGACAAGGGAAAGGACAUAUGCAACCCCCUCCACCACACAACCUUGCCGUGAAGGGUGGUUUUCCCAAAACAGACUGUAAACGGAGCUUACAGCCAAAACUGUCAUAGCAUGGAUGUCAUUGUACUUACAUGGCAUGGAUGUCAUCAUAAACAUCAUGAAAAUUUAGUUUUAUUUCAUUUUUAUUUAUUUUACUCCUUUUUAAAAUAAAAAAAUUUUGAUUAAAAAAAUUAAAAUUUUAGCUGACAGAGAAUUUAAAAAUGUAUAUAACACACCAUUAAUAAUAUUAAUAUAUAACAUUAUUCAAUAUAAAUAAAAUGCUUUUAUAUAUUUAAUAGCAUAAUGCAAUGUUUUUUAUUUAUAAAUUCUAAAUAUUUUAAACACAAAUGUUAUUAUCAAAGAAAUAAAAAAAAAAUUACUAAAUUUUCAUUUAUACACUUCAUUUUGUCUAGUUUCCAAAAUAGAAAAUAAUAAUAACUUUUUAUAUAAAAUUCAAGAACUUUUAAAACUUUACAUUAAAAAGCUAAUAAUUUUUUAAAACUAUUUAAAAAAAUAAAGGUACUCAUAAAAAUUUAAUAUCUUAAAUUUAAAUUUUUUUGAAAGUUAUUUUUAAAAAUAUAAACUUGGUCUACACUUUUUGUAUAAGAGGAUUUUUUUUUUAGAAGUUCUUACUAUUUUUUUUUAAUUUAAAAAAAAACACCAAGAAGUAUGUUCAAAUGGACAUGAAAUUAUAAAUUAUCAAAUGAUUUUCAAAUAGGACUAAACAUGAGAAAGAUUUUCUAUAUAUAUAAAUAUUUUAUAAUAGGAAUGCAAUAUAUUUUUUAUUUUUAAAAAAAUGGAUGUUGAGAUGUAAUAAAAUUUCUAUAAUAUUUUUUUAUUCCUUUGAUAAAUUAAAUAUAAACAUGCAAUAAAAUAUUAUGUUGGAUUUAAUAUCUAAAAUACCAUUAUCACUUUAGAUAUAAUAUAUCAAGAUUUGAUUAUGUUAUGUCUUAUUUUGUCAUGUUCAACCAAUCAAACUUAAAUUACCUUAUUUAAUGUUUUUAUCCAUCAAUUAAAUGCAUUACAUGGAUAGGCAAAAUGGAACUAAUUAGGCCACGUCAUAUAUGUAAUUUAAGUUUUAUCACAUUAUUUUAGUACUUUGUACCUCAAAUAUGAUUUUAGUAUUUUGUUCCUUGACCUCAUUCUCGUUAGCAUCCUCAAAGCUCUAAAUUUUAUCAUAAACUUUGAAUGACAGCUUGGAUUUGAACUUCAAUAGGUGUCAAUUUGGUACCUUAGACUUUUUCGGACCUUAAAAACAUAAAAGAAAAAUAAAAUUUUAAAUAAUGAAUUUAAAGGAAAAUGAUACCUUUGAUCUUAAUUUGAAGAAAAAGAAUAAAAUUGAAAGAGACAAAAAAUUAAAAUAUGAAGAAGGAAAAUAGGAAAAUGAAAUUUAUUAUCAUUUUUCAUCAUUUUUUGUUUGAUCUUUUAUUUCUUCAUUUUUUUUUUGUAUUUAAAUAUAAGAAAAUCACAUUCCUUAAUAUUAUUUUCUUAUUUCUUUAAUAUUUUUAAAAAAUGAAACUGUGGACUCUGUAUUUUUCACGUGCGUCCUCAUUCGUUGGCGAGAUUCGCUUUAAAUUUAUUUAUUUAGUGAAAAUUUGAUUUUUUGAGAAAGACUUGGAGUUGUCACUUAUUUUUAUUUUAUUUUUUAAGGGAAAAAUAGAAUAAGAAAUAAAAACCCUAAAUGUGACUCUUGAAUGAAAAACAGGUUUAGGAAAAACCGAAUUUGGAUUCGGGGGUUAGGUUACCUAUUGGGAAGGUAUGGUAAUGAGCCGUAGCACCCCUCUAACCCCGUAUACAUACGGUCUCUACCAAACAAAUUAAGAGAAUUGUAACAAUUAAUUAAUUAAUCAUGUAUGCCAAGAAAAAUAACGUAUAAGUCAUGCUAAAAAUCAAUAUACACAAAAAUAAUGAUGAAAUCUAAUUAAAAGAAUACACAAAAUAAAUAACAGGAGAAUUAUACAAAAUGAUUUAUUUAAAUAAAUAAAUAAGAUAUUAAAAAAUAUUUUUUUCAAGAAAUUUUAAAUGAUUUUAUUAAAAAAAAUUUUGAAUGAGUGAUUUCAAUUUAUUUAUUUACAAAAAAGAGUCAAUUUAUUUUCUCAAUUUCAUUUGUAUUCAAUUUUCAGAAAAUUUAUUUACAUUUGUUGUAUUAAAAGAAUUUAUUACAAAAUUUCAAUUUUGAAACAAAAAAAAUAUAUUUUUACUUGCUUUAAAAAAAAAAGAACUUUUACAAUUUUAUUUACAAAAGUAUUUGAAUUUGUUUUCAUUUAAGAAAAGUUAUUUAUACAAAUUAUUAAAUAUAUAUAUAUAUAUAUAUAACUUUAUUUGCAAAAGAAUUUUUAAAUAAAAAUUAAUUUUUUGAACAAUUUUAUUUACAAAACAAUUUUUAGACAUUUUUUACUAAACAAAGAAUUUUUUAGACAAUGAUUAUUAAAAAACAAUUUUUUAAAUGCUAUUAAAAACAUUUUUUUUUAUUUUUCUAAAAGCAUUUUUUUGAAUUUUUAUUAAUAAUAAUAAAAAAACUUUCUUUUACUUAGAAGAAUAUUUUAAAAUUAUUAUUUUAUUAAAACAUAUUUACUGAAUUAUUCUUUUUAUUUAAACAAAAUCUCUUAUUUGUUCGAAAUUCAAUUAUGUAAACACUCAAUAAAUAUUUAUAAAAACUAAUAAAAAUAAAAUCAAAUAAAACUGGGAAAUAAAAUGUGUACCUAAAUAAGCUUACAACAAGUUCAAUGUCUUCCUACAACUUUUUUAUUCUCACUUUCUUUCAUGGAAUUUCGUACUCCACGGGUCAUAAAUUUGCACUUAGCCAACAAAAUUGCAGAAUAGGUACAUGUAAAAACAAAAAUAGCCCAAACGUAAAUAUCCAAAGAUGUACAAAAUCUCAAACAAAUAUUCAAACCAAAAUUUAAAUUUUAAAUUAGUCUCAUAAAUUUCGUUAAUUAAAAUGAACCCAAAUUACUAUAGGUUUUAGCCUAAAAUAUUCAAAUUAAUAACCAAAAAUACAAACACAAUCAACCAAACCUAAACCGGGAAGGAGAGUACCUCAACCGGGAAGGGAAGGUUACUGGAUGAGAGAAAGUGUUUUUGAUACUCCUCGACUAGACCUUGACCGAACAAGGGCAACCGAUCAAUCAGUUUCUUGGUCGGUUGAGUCGGUUGGCCAGUGCCUUGACCGGUUUAGCCUUUUGGCCCAAAAAACCUAUCUUUUUCGGUUCUUUUCCUUUCCAAAACUUAGGCAAGGUCUUUAGGUAAAUUAAUAUGUCAAUUUUGAAAUGUUUUGUCUAAGGUAUAUUUGCUAAAACUCGAGUUUUAAUGAAAUUAUAACUUUAAAGAAUAAAUCGAAUUUUCCAAAGAUCCAUAAAAAGAUAUAUAAAACCUAAGUGCACCCAUGUAUUCAUCUUACAUUUGUUUUCGAUGAUUAAAAGUCUUCCAAAUGUGUCGAUCUUGUAUCCAUUUGAUUUUUUGAUGAAUUUUCAAAUUUACACCUAAGAUUCUUUACUAUUCAAACCAAUUAGUCACUUAACCAUGAUUUGUUAUCAUCAAAACCUAAUUAGGAGAAUCAUUGAGCUAACAAUUACAAAUUCGGAAGGUAUCGAAUUUAUACCUUAGGAGUUCCUUUUAUUAAAUAUACAACAAGAGAUGAUAUAUAGAACAUAGAAAGUGAAUUAUUUUAGGGAAUGUUAAGAAUUUUGAUACACAUAAUACAAAUUACUUAAAUAUAAAAUCGUAUCAAGGAUAAAUAUAAAUUUAUUAAACAAAAACUACAAAGUUUAUGCUUUUAUAUAUAUAUAUGUUGCUAUUGGCUUGAACAUUGGCCUCGCAAUGGACUAAAUAUUUCACUUUGACAAAAGUUUUUCGUGACCACUCAAUUAAUAAAGGAAAAGACACAAUUAAAAUAAAUAAACAAAAGAAAAAAAGAGUUGUGCACCUUCUCCCCACCAUACAACUAAUAAAUUCUAUCAUAUUUGACUCAAUGGUGUUAUCCGUACUUCCCAACAUGGGUUGGCAAAAUAUAUUAGGGACUUUUAACAUAGAAAUUAAAGACUAUAUUUUGCUUUGAAAAUAUUAAAUAAUGGAAAAAAUUGUUAAAAAAGAUAAUUUUAUUAUAUUUGGCUUUAUUAUGAAAAGUGUAAUUAAAAUUAGUUAGAAAUUUAUAUAAUUUUUAUAUAAAAAAAUAAGUAAAAUAAGUUUAAAGUAGUAUAUAAAAAUAAUUUAUUGAUUUUUAAUUUUUUUUUCUCUUGCAUUUUUUUUAGAUAAAAGAAAAAAUAAAGAAAGAAGAGAUAAGGAAAGGGAAAGUAUAUAUGCACUUUCUCUUCACUAAGGAUGAAAAUAUUGGUAAUUAUGGAUAUAUUGGUAUUUUGAUUUUACGGAUAUAUAAAAAAUAUUGGUGAAUAUUUUUUUCACUAAUAUCGUUGAAGCGAAAAUUAUUUAAAAUUCAUAAAAAUGCUUAAAAAAACUCUAAGAAUUGAUAAAAUAAGUAAGAAUCCGUAUUUUAAAGUUAUUUUAUAAAUAUAAUUGAUAUAAAUAUGAUCAAGAAGAAAAAUAUCGGUAGACAGAGAUAUAUCGAUAGAUUUGAUAUUUGAAUUUUAAGAAUAAUAAAUAUAAAUUUUGGAAGUGUAUAAAGUUAAGAAAUAUUUGAUUUUAUUAAAUAAAAACAAUUUAUAUGUAAAUAUAAUGCAUAUGACAUUGCAAUAGUCUUAUUAUUAAAAUGAAAAUCAAUAUGAUUUUAUCAUAUUAUUAUAUAAAGGGAUCCUAUCUUGUUGAAGAUAAUAUUUAUUUUAAAAAUUUUAAAAUAUUUUUUUAUUAAAACAUGUUUUAUUAUAUUUUAAAUAAAAAAUUAAAUUAAUUUAUAUAACAUAUUUUAUUUGAGAUUUAAUUUCUAAAAUUUUAUUAAAAAUAUGUGAUAAUAAUUUUUUCUAUUAACAUUAAUUUAUUUAAAUAAUUAAAAUUAUUAAUAAUUUAUCUUAUCAAAUUAAUUUUAAUUUAUAAAAUAUCAUCGAAAAAAGUCGAAAUUUCGUAGUGAUUUAAUCAAAAUAAUGAUGCAUAAUUAAUAAUUAUUUAUACAGAGGGUGGAAACUUGUUCUCAUGAUUUGUUUCUUUUUAAAUCUCUACUAAAUUUAAAAACCGAAAGGGCCACUCACUUCUCUCACUCGGGCAUCAAGAAGCCCUUAUCUGAAGUUGCCUUCCAGACGAGAGAAUCCCUAAAAAGACCCUGUUUUCCUCUGCCACUCUCAAUCCUCGCAGGUUCUAAUCUAAUCAUGUUAUUUUUUUUUUUUGCAACCCCCGUUUGAUUCCCAAGAAAAUCCAUCCCCAUUCGAUUUCAGGGAAAAUUCAUCCUCGUUUGAUUUUCGAGAAAAUCCAUGCAAAACCCCCAAGGAAAACCAAAAGCAUUGCUAUUUUUUUUUGCUCCCUGUGUUUUCUGGAUAAGUUCUAGGGGUCUUUUUGCUUUUGUGCCAUUCGAUUUAAAUUUCAUGAACCCUAAAUCCACGAUUUUUGAGCCAGGCUGAAAAACACAACCUUUGCCUGCAAAUCAUGAUUAGAUUACUAAAUAGCAUCUUAUGUUUUUGUUCUAAAAAAAAUUGGACAAAUUUUGUAUCCUGUGCGCGGGUCGGGCUGGUUGGAAAUAUCGGGAAAUUUCCCGAAAAAUCGGUAAAAAUACCGAUAAGUACCAAAAUAUCGGCGAUAUUUUCGAAAAUUACCGAAAUUUCCGUCGACCGAUAAUCGGUGACGAAAAAUUUCGACAUUUCAAUCCUUGGUCUCCACCACUCAACUUCACGGUAAAGGGGACCACAUUUGCUUUAUUUAAUGGCAAAUUUUAGAUCAUCUCUAUAAGACUUUUUUCAUUUAUCUCAACAAUUCUUUGAAGUGCUUUGUUAUUUUUUAAUUUCUAUCUUCCGAAAACACAUCUUCUUUGGAUUAUCAUCUGGUAUCAUAGUCAAGUUGAUCAGAUGGUUAUCUCAAUCCAACCUACCAUCCCAUUUUUUGAAGGAAAUGGAUAUGAUACUUGGAGCAUAAAGAUGAGGACUCUUUUUAUCUCCGAAGAUCUGUGGGAGCUUGUGGAUAAGGGUUAUGUAGAAGAGGAAAUUCCAAGAGAUGCUAUGAGAGAUGUACGAAAG